RNAcentral lists this long non-coding RNA (82181 nucleotides) under Glycine max (soybean). RNAcentral describes it as "long non-coding RNA (GMAX_LNC003783)". Lineage: Eukaryota; Viridiplantae; Streptophyta; Magnoliopsida; Fabales; Fabaceae. The record is from RNAcentral.
AAAAAAAAAAGAAAGAAAGAAGAACCAUAUGAAUAAAUUUAAAGUGAAUUUAUGAAUUCACGGGAUAAGGAAAAUAUACUCUUUAAACUUGCCUUGGAUGAGCCAUGGAACUCAAAUGACGUAAUGGAGCUGUCAGGUAACUUGCAUAUAACAAGGUUGAUAGGAUCAAAGUUAGAUGGUAAACAAUUUGAAGGAUAUCUGUGCCAUUCCAGUACUCUUAAACCUUCUGGAAAAUAAUUGGGACCUUUGGAAAAUUUGCAAUUUCUAAUAAUAAGUAUUUUAAGGUUUUUCAUCUUCAUGAAGGCGUUUUCAUUCCAUUCCACUGUUUCUUCUUUGUCAGAUAUGGAGAAAUCCAGACAUAUGAUUUCAAUUUUACUAGUCCCCUGUUAAUGCAAAAAGGCACGAAUCAACCACAAUACAACUUGUAUGAAAUAUCAAUUGACUCACUUAGAGAAAUUUACAAAUUAUCAAGAAAAAGUUAACUAUGAUGUAAAUAUGAGAUAGGCAAAAAAAAUUUCAACUAUUCAUGAGCUCACUCACCGUGUUGUCUUUUAAAACUUGAAUGAUAUCUUUUGGUAACAAUAAUCUCUUGCACUUCCCUGGCUCUUCUGGUGAUCCAACUUGUAUGAAAUAUCAAUUGACUCACUUAGAGAAAUUUACAAAUUAUCAAGAAAAAGUUAACUAUGAUGUAAAUAUGAGAUAGGCAAAAAAAAUUUCAACUAUUCAUGAGCUCACUCACCGUGUUGUCUUUUAAAACUUGAAUGAUAUCUUUUGGUAACAAUAAUCUCUUGCACUUCCCUGGCUCUUCUGGUGAUCUCUGCCGCUCAAUUUCUCUACCCAUGUCCUGGAUCAUGUCGUGCAUUUCAACAGUAUCACAGCAGCUAACCUUUACGAGAGAUUUUUCAACCAACACCCCAAUAUGAUGUUUGGUGCAGUUACCAUAAAGGUCACGGAGUAUAUCAUCAACCUCUGUCCAUUUAUACCCUUUGAAUCAACAAGCAAUGCCAAGAAAAACAUUCUUUUGUUCUUCCCCCAAAGCAUCAAAGCUUACUUUUAGAAUCUCUUGGAUUUCAUCACUGGGAAUUCUUUUAUAAUGUUCCAUAGCAGAUUCCCAUUCAGCUACAGUUUUUUCAAACAAGUUGGAACCUAUAACUUCCAAAGCCAAUGGAAGGCCAGAAGCAUAAGUUACUACACGAUUCAAGACAUCCUCAUAACUUGGAUCAAUUUUUUCUCUUUUAAAAGCAUUCCACGUAAGCAAUUGAAGAGCAGCACUCUGAUUUAAAACCUUCACCUCAUAGGUUCUUUCAACCUCAUGAUAUUUUAGCAGAUGUUUGUCCCGAGUGGUAAUGAUGACUCUGCUACAGGGACCAAACCAAUCAGGUCUUCCAACAAUAGCCUUUAAUUGCUCGCGCUUAUCAACAUCAUCUAAAAUCAAGAGAACCUUCUUUCGUUGGAGCCUAUGUUGUAUCAUUGAAGCUCCUUCUUGCCAACUUGUUAAGGUGAUGUCCUUCUCCCCAAGUAAUUUUGAAAGAAGGAUGCUUUGAAGGUGUUUUAACCCAUGUUUAUUUGAUUCUUCUCUCACAUUUUGAAGAAAACAGGAUUCAUCAAAAUGGAGAGCAAUCAAAUUAUAAACUGCCAGAGCAAGUGUUGUUUUUCCUAACCCGCCCAUUCCAUGGAUCCCUAUGAUGUGGACAACAUCAUGGGAUCCAACAUCCAAAAGCUUCCUUACCUCUAUCACUUGUGACCCUAGACCAACUGGAUAAUCCGCAACAUGUAAAGGAGCACGAUUAAUCUCCCUAGAAACCUGCUCAAAAUACUCUGGAUAAACUUGUAUUCAUAUGCAUCUCUGUUUCAAACAAACAAAAUAAGUUCUGAUGAAGUCAGCCUAAAAGCCUUGCAUCCAUGUCUUGAUAGGUACAUUAAUUGUCAAGGUUAACAAGAGCAUUUCUUUUCUAUUUAAAUUUUACUAGUUAAAUCAAUCGACAAGUAAAACCUAAUCCAAUAAAAACCAUAAAGUAAAAUAUAUUACUAUGAUUGUAUACCCAUCUUUGAAAUGAUAGCCACACAAGUCAGCUACUUGUUUCAAAGCGAUCCUCCAUUUCUGCAGCUUCUCCUUCCUAGCUUUGAACCUCUUCUGAUGCUUAGCCAUUUCUUCUUCAUAACUACCUUUCUGGUGUCUGACAUCAGAAGGAUCUACGUUGUAAAAGACCGGUAUAACCAACAGCCCUUUCCUCUUGCAGUGAAGGAUGGUUACAAGUUCAUCUAAACAAAAUGAGGAAGAAGCAUAGUUUUCAGAAAGCACAGUGAUAGCAAUCCUGGACUCUUGAAUUGCCUUCAAAAGUGCAGGUGUUAUUUCCUCUCCGCUGUGAAGCUUCUUUUCGUCAAAGAAGGUAUGAAUUCCCUUGUCACAAAGAGCCCUGUAUAGAUUGCCAGUGAAACCAUGGCGUGUGUCUUCCCCUCUGAAGUUGAGGAACACAUCGUAGAUGGAUGCACGGGAACAUGUUGUUGCAGCCAUUAUUAGAAGAAAAAAGUUUAGUAUGAUUAUGGUUGAUAUGGUGGGAGUGUAGAAUCAAACUUGAACAAAUAUGAAAAUGAAAGUAUACCAAAUGUUAUAAAAGUCAAGGCAAGCUCUUGUAAAGAAAGAUGCUCUCACUUUUUUCAUUUUAAAACCUACUUUUUAUAAUCAAAUUAUUACAAAUAAACAAUAAAAGUAUUUUUAAUAAUGGGUACUGUAUUUCAAAUAAUUAACUGGUGGUACUACUAAUUCUCCCGCCCCAAAAAGAAUUGUUAAUUAGAGAAUCAAAAUAUAUAUUAACUAAUAAGUAAUCUGAUAAUUUUUAAUCACAAGAGCUUUAAAAUUUGUCUUUUAUAUAUAUAAAUUUCUCAUUGAAAGAGUUUUAUAAUUACCUUGAUAAUUUUGCUGAAAACACCCACACAUAAGAUGUUUUACUUUAAGUCAGAUGUAUUUGUUCGAAAAGUAAUAGAAGUUAAUUUUGUAUAAUAAAAAUAAUGUGAGUAAAUUAUUUUACAAGAAAUUUAUAUCCGUAUUUUUUUAUAAAAAUUAUCCAAAAUCAUCAAUCACUCAUCAUUUUCUUCCCUUCCCAAUGUACUGUUGACAUCCUUAAUAUAUUUUCAAGUAUUUUUCAGUAACUACUGAAUUUUUUGUUUCACAUAACAAACCACACUGAAACUCUGGCAUGAUUAUAUGGAAUUAUUUAUCUCUCAUAGUUGAUUCUAUUUACCACAUUUUGUAGAAACUAGAUCAUUUUUCCUCACACAUUUCUUGUGGUCUUUUGCAAGAAUGAAAAGUUAAAAAGUGUGUUUCAUUGCAGUAAAUUUCUGGUGGUUCGUGUUGAGACUCGUUGGCAAGUGUACCAAAUCGUCACAAGUAGUAAAGUACUCGGAAGUCCGAGUGUCGAAUCCACAGGGACUUUGUUUGUACUUAGAUUAAUGCAAAUCCAACUUAAAAGCAAGAGAUAAGAAUUUAAAAAAAAGAUAGAAGAUAAGGUAAAGAAAAGAUAAAAGAUUUAAAGAUAAAAUUAGGAGAUGAAAGAAUUAAAGAUAAAAUUAAAAGAUAAAGAAAAAGAUAAAAGAUAAAAGAUUUAGAUAAAAUAAUAUUAGGAACUGACUUGCCUUGUCUGCCUAGGAUGUAUGAGUUUAUGAUUUUUUCUUUACCAAUUCAGGUGAUUUUAUCCCACCCACAUCUAUUCAUUUACUUGCCCCUGAUGCCUCACAAUGACAAGUCUAUUUUACCUAUCUAUCCCCCAAAUGCCUUUGCAAAGACUCAAUAGAUAAAAUGCAUGAAGUUCUAAUUCUAGAUGUUUGCUUUGACGCAUGGGCAUAAUGCAAUCACUCUAUGCCUAGCAAUGAUUUUAUUAUGAUAUCUUUUCUUCUUGUUCUAUUAGAAGUUAUCCUCUCCCGAGCGUCUAACCCCUAAAACUAAUGCAUGCAUAUCUUCUUUAAAUCUUAUUUAGAAGUUACCCUCUCCCCUGAGCAUCUAACCCCUAACAGAAUAUAAAGAUGAGUAUGCAAGAUAAAAAUAUAAAAGAAAAUAGGAAAGAAAAACCUAGUAUUGCAUUGAUAAAUAGUGAAGAGUACAUCAUACAUCACUUUGGCUUCUAGGCCUGCCAGGCCCUAACUAAGGGUUUAGCCACUCAUGGCCGAGGGCUUUACAAGUAGAAGAGGGGGGAAAGAAAAGGAGUAAAUGAAACCCCUAGGAGAGGGGGUUCUGUCGUGGUGUGUUCUAUCCCUUGGACUGGCUCUCUAUUUAUAGCUGCUGAAGUGGGCUUUGGGCCUUCGUAGGCGCGCUCAGCGCGACACCCCCACGCUCAGCGCGUGUAGAUCGCGCGCUUAGCGCGCAUGUUUCAGGCUUAGCGCACGCUUCUGUUAGAUCGCGGGCUUAGCACGCGUGUUGCAGGCUUAGCGCGCGCUUCUGUUGGAUCAUGGGCUUAGCGCGUAACGCGCGCUCAGCGCACGUAUUGGACUGGGCCUGCUUCAGAUUUUCUUCUUUUCUUCAAUUUUUCUAGCCUUUUUGCUUGUUAUACCUUCAGUUUUUAUAUCUGCAGCCAAAAUUCAACAAAACAUCAAUUCUUUAAUAUUUAAGCGCAAAUAACUGCUAAAUAAUUAUUUUUAAAGACAAUUUUGCCUUAUUUUCUAUCAUCAAAAUACAAUUAUUUAGCAGUUAUCAGUUCGUGCUUAUAUAUCUGUUUUAUUCCCCUGUAAGAGUGCUGAUUUUCUUUUAAUUCUGUUGGCUGAUCAAUGCUCAUGUAUAUGUUUCUAAACUUGAAAGUAACGUGAUAUCCAUUCUUCACCUUAAAUUUGUAAGAGAAUAAUUUUCGUUGAUGUAUAUUUCUUUUGCCAGCUCUCCGUCAUUUUCGUUGAUGUAUAUUUCUUUUGCCAGCUUUUGAUAUAAAUUUUGUCAUAAUUGAACAAGAUUGAAUCAUUUAGAUAGAUAGAUAAUAGCAACAUAUUAUUUAGUAUCGUUCAUUUUCUUAAAAGAAAACUUGUGUAUACUUGUGAAAUGAAACAACGAAAUAAUAGUUGGUUCACUUUGAUUGUUUAAAAAAAAAAAAACUACAUGAAAUGAAUUACAUUAUGAGAAAGAACACAUACCUAAAAAAAGAGUAAAGUGAAAUUAAGUAGCUCAUUCAUGCCAUUAAGUAAAUUAUAAUAAUUUUUCUUAACUUAAGAACAAAUGCUACAAAUAAAUGUUGAGUUUAGAGACGAAACCAAUACCAAGUUGAAUAUGUUGGGGAGGAUUCUGCUGAACUCUCUCUUGACGUGAUUAAUGAAGUUUUUCUCUAUUUAUCAUUAUCCUAAUGUUCUUUGCACCGUCAAAUUUACUUUAACUGUGAUCUCUCACAUAAAAGAGCCUAAUCCUCCUAAUUUCAUUCUUGAUUCCUCAAUGAAUUCCGUCUAAGUGGGCCACAUUACAAAUUAGAUGCAAAUUAUACUAGAUUAGUUCACACUAUUCUUAGAAAUGAAGACUUCUAGAUGUUCUACCAAGUUCUAAGGACUAAAAGAAUUUCCCAACACUUCAAUCCUAACAAAGCAUAUAAAUGGAUAAUCAAGCCACAAAUAUUAAAGACAACCACAGAUAGAAGUAGAUAACACUAGCAAAUAAUAUUAAAUAGAUAGUUAGAGUUUUUGCAUCAAGAGUGUUGAGUGAAAAACUCUCCAACAAUGAAGUGUUUAGCCCUUCAUUAGCAUGGAGAGCUCAGUACAAGGCUAAAAAUAAGGUAGAAAUGGAAUGGUGAAGUAAAGAUAUGGAGAAAGCCGCUUGCUUUUCUUCCUUCAGCCUUGGUGCUCUGUUUUCGUCUCACCCACGCUGCAUGUGUUGUUUGGCUUCCCCCUCUCUUCCAGCUUUAAAGGCUUUUGGGCUUCUCAAAUUAUGAAUGUGCGUUUAGCGAGCAUGUCUCGCUGAGUGAGAGUUCGUGACUGGGUGCUUAGCGGAUGUGGAUGCGCUAAGCACGAGAAACGACAAAGGCAGUUACUGGGCAAGCUGGCUGCAGCUAAGCACAAUGCUCUUUGAAUUUACAUUCUCUAAGAGUUUUCUCUCACUGGGUGAGUUGGCUUCCUCGCUAAACAGAUUAGGCUCGCUUAGCUAAUCGCUAAACAAGCUCUUCAGCAUGCACUUCCAAAUCUUGCUUCCUUAAACCUGAAAAUCCAAAUGAUAAUAAUAUCAAUCAUCAAAAUGAAGCCUCCACCGUAUAAAACUCACACAAAAUCAAUUAUAUACAAAUCUCACGCAAGAAACCAUAAUACUAAUUAGAGUUACAUUGCCACUUUUCAUCUACUUUUCAAUACAUUUGGUACUCUUGAAUAACAAUUAUCAAUUUAUUUCUUUGGCUACUUCCUAUCCUUAUUUAUGCCACGUUUUUAAUUUCCAUUCAUAAAUUUAAAAACAACAAGCUAUCAGCCAUCCUAAGACAAUCCUUAUGCAGAAAAUGAAGAAGACAUUAUCUAGCUUAAAGAUAUUUGAUCCAAUAAAUUACACUAGUUAUUCUUGAGAUUUUGUGAAAUUUCACAAACUUUUCAUACUUUUUUUACCCCUACACUAACCCCUUAAUUAUUUCGAAAACAUUAUUCCGAUACCUUUUAUACAUUAUACUAAUCCACCUUAAUUGUUUGAAGAACAUUACACUGUGUUCGCUUAUAAAGAAAGUAGUUGUAAAUGUUAAAAAAACAAGAAAGACUUGUGCAAUUUCACGAAAUCUCAAAAAAUAUAUAUUGGUGUAAUUUAUUAUAUAUACUUGAUUUAAUUAAUUUAGAGAGGCAUAUAGAAGUAGAAGUAAACAGAAAUCUAUUUAUAUGCCCAACUCAAACUCAAUAAGAAUCCUAGGUAGGCAUUCUGCUUACAAGUAUGCAAAAUUUAACUUUCUCAACUGCUAUGAACAGUUGAUAUAGAUCAUAUAGGAGUAUGCCAGCUAAAUCCUAAGAAGUACACUUUCAAAAUUUAACUAAUUGAAGUUUUUCUGGUUCCUGAUCAAAUUAUUUAGCAUAACCAGCAGGAACCUGAUCAUCAUAGCAAUUAGAAGGGUAAAAGUUGAACCUGCAAAAGCAAAAAAGUGAAAGAUCUAAAUUUGUAUUGACUGAAAUAUUUAAAAUGGGUAAAUAACCAAUUUCCUAUAUGAAAGUGUAAAACAAUGUUAAUUUAAUUCCUAAAAGUAAUAAAAUGAAGGAAAGAAGAAAUCUCCUUACCGUAUCACUUUAGUUCCUAAACUUAAUACUUAUUGUCAUUUAAUCCAUGAAGCUAUGCUUAUAUUUUUAAGUCACACAACAUUUAGAAUUUUUGGACUAAAAUUGAAAUAUAUUAUUAAAUAAAUAUACAAAUAUAUUAUUAUAUUGUUUUAUAGUAGAACUUGUAAGGGAAAAUCUAAAACUAAACAAAAAGUAUAUUAAACAAUUUUUUUUUACUUUCUUUUAAUUACAAUGUAUAUAUAAGAUAUCUGUUGGUUUAUGUAAUUUUGAAAUCUAACUAUAAAAAUAUACAGCAAGAUAAAACUUGAAAGGUUAUAUAUAGAAAAUGCAUAAAGUCGUGAAAGAUGAAUAUAAAUGAGUCAAAAGUACAUGACGAAGAUAGGGUAAACACCGGUCAGUUGGGUUAAGUGAAUUUUUGACAACUGAAACCAAAAUAAUAAAAUAAAAAACAUGAAAAAAAUAAGAAAAAAGCUAUGGAAUUGCGUUUCCCAAAGGCUAUGGUUUGUAGCAACGAUGGGCUUUCUGAUGCAGAACUGCUGAGAUAAGGAUCAUCAAAUCGAAUAUCUUCCUCCAUACUGCUUUCUUUGAAUAUAUGGAUUCCACUUGCCUUAAUGAUUGAGCUCUCUAAGUCUAAGACACCUUCUUCUCUCUUUUCUUUUUCAUAGGCUAACACACUUUGAUAUCUAACCUCCACAUGGUUCCAUUCCUUUUCCCUAGCCAUUUCUUCAAACCGAUUAUUAUUUAUGAAAGCAGACGCUUGGAGAUCAAAGAUAUAUGUAUGAUCCAAGUUCAACCUACUUUUUAUCUCGUGUCUUCCAAAAUAGGGCCGAAUUUCUUGAAAUUUGCCAUUGAUGAACACCUUUGGAUUAAGGACAACAAUCCCAGUAGACACAGGUGCAAUAAGAAGACAAAGAAGUUUGGCAGGGAAUUUAUUACGAAACCAGAAAGAACUUGAAGGUCCACUGCUUUGCUGAUCGAACCACUCUGGUAUACUUGUUCCUGUAAACAUAAAAUUGGUUCCUCCAGCCUCAUGCAGUUUCUGUUAGUCAUCAUUCAUAAAGAAAUCAUAAGUUUAACAACAUUAGGUGCACUAUGCAUCAUCAAAUCCUGUACAGUAACAAAAAAGACAAUACCUGAUUUAAAAGCAUGUUUUUACUCGAGGAAGUCAAGGAUGCACAGUUUCUUGCAUCGAAAUACUCUAAGUUUGGUGGAAGACCUCUAAUUUCCUGAAGAUGCUCGCAAUCACUCACCAUAAGUGAUCUUAAUAAUUGCAAUUCUUUGAAGAAUUCAGGAAGGAUUGUGAAAUUAUUCCCCGACAGAUUUAAAUGUCCUACACGAGCAAAGGUCUUGAAACCUGUUAAAAAAAAAUCAUCACAUAGAUUGCAAUCCUUGGCCGAAAACCGAUGUGCCUUUGAAGAUGGUAUUGAGCCCACUUUUUUUUCACCUUCUUCCGAUUCUACCCAUUGCCACCUGUUGCAAUAUUCCAUAUGGAAUUCAAACAGUUCGGGCAUCAUCGCUAAGCUACAUGGUAACUUAACAAUUCCACAGCUCCUCAGGGUUAACCAACGGAGUCCAAUAAGAUUUUGAAAUGAAAAUGACAAUUCUUUUAUGGGAAGGCCAUACAAAAAAAGAUGCUUUAUGUUUUCCAUCUCUCCUAUUAUUUCUGGAAAAUAUUCAAGACUGGAACAUUGAGAAAGUUCAAGUGUUUGAAGAGAGGUCAAGUUGAGAGGCGGAAAACUCUUAAGCUUGCUGCAACCAUACGCACUCAAUUUUUUAAGUUUAUUCAGAAAACCAAUUGAGUCAUCAACUGCAACUAAACUCUCACACUCUUCAAAUGAAAGUUCCCUCAAAUUUGGGAGAUCAGAUACAUCAGGUAUCUGUGUUAAAAAUUUGCAGUUGUCAAACUUCAAAACUGUUAGAUGCCCGAACUUCUGCAAAGGAAAAAAAAAAAUAAAAUAAAUAAGAACCAAAUGAAUAAAUUUAAAGUGACUUUAUUAAUUCACGGGAUUCAGGAAACAGUCUCUUUGCAUAUGCAAGGGUAAGGCUGCGUACAACAUCUCUCCCCCAUACCUUCGCAUAGCGAAGAGCCUGUGGGCUACGAAGUUUAUUAAUUCACGGGAUGAGGAAAAUAUACUCUUUAAACUUGCCUUCGAUGGGCCAUGGAACUCAAACGACGUCAUACAACUGUCAGGUAACUUGCAUAUAACAAGAUUGUUCGGAUGAAAGUUAGAUGGUAAACAAUUUGAAGGAUAUCUGUGCCAUUCCAGUACUCUCAAACCUUCUGGAAAAUAAUUGGGACCUUUGGAAAAUUUGUCAUUUCUAAUAAUAAGUAUUUUAAGGUUUUCCAUCUUCAUGAAGGCGUUUUCAUUCCAUUCCACUGUUUCUUCUUUGUCAGAUAUGGAGGAAUCCAGGCAUAUGAUUUCAAUUUUACUAGUUCCCUGUUAAUACAAAAAGGCACGAAUCAACCACAAUACAACUUGUGUGAAAUAUCAAUUGACUCGCUUAGAGAAAUUACAAAUUAUCAAGAAAAAGAUAACUACAAUGUAACUUUGAGAUAGAAAAAAAAACAAAAAUCAACUAUUCAUGAGUUCACUCACGGUGUUGUCUUUAAAAACUUGAAUUAUAUCUUUUGGUAACCAUAAUCUCUUGCACUUCCCUGGCUCUUGUGGUGAUCUCUUCCGCUCAAUUUCUCUAGCCAUGUCCUGAAUCAAGUCGUGCAUUUCAACAGUAUCAGUACCAUAACAGUUAAGCUUUAUGAGAGAUUUUUCAACCAACACCCCAAUAUGAUGCUUCUUGCAGUUACCAUAAAGAGCACGGAGUAUAUCAUCAACCUCUGUCCAUUUAUACCCUCUGAAGCAACAAGCAAUGUCAAGAAAAACAUUCUUUUGUUCUUCCCCCAAAGCAUCAAAGCUUACUUUCAGAAUCUCUAGGAUUUCAUCACUGGGAAUUCUUUUAUAAUGUUCCAUAGCAGAUUCCCAUUCUGCUACAGUCUUUCCAAACAAGUUGGAACCUAUGACUUCCAAAGCCAAUGGAAGGCCAGAAGCAUAAGUUACUACACGAUUCAAGACGUCCUCAUAACUUGGAUCAAUUUUUUCUCUUUUAAAAGCAUUCCACUUAAGCAAUUGAAGAGCAGCACUCUGAUUUAAAACCUUCACCUCAUAGGUUCUUUCAACCUCAUGAUAUUUUAGCAGAUGUUUGUCCCGAGUGGUAAUGAUGACUCUGCUACCGGGACCAAACCAAUCAGGUCUUCCAACAAUAGCCUUUAAUUGCUCGCGCUUAUCAACAUCGUCUAAAAUCAAGAGAACCUUCUUUCGUUGGAGCCUAUGUUGUAUCAUUGAAGCUCCUUCUUGCCAACUUGUUAAGGUGAUGUCCUUCUCCCCAAGUAAUUUUGAAAGAAGGAUGCUUUGAAGGUGUUUUAACCCAUGUUUAUUUGAUUCUUCUCUCACAUUUUGAAGAAAACAGGAUUCAUCAAAAUGGAGAGCAAUCAAAUUAUAAACUGCCAGAGCAAGUGUUGUUUUUCCUAACCCGCCCAUUCCAUGGAUCCCUAUAAUGUGGACAACAUCAUGGGAUCCAACAUCCAAAAGCUUCCUUACCUCUAUCACUUGUGACCCUAGACCAACUGGAUAAUCCGCAACAUGUAAAGGAGCACGAUUAAUCUCCCUAGAAACCUGCUCAACAAUACUCUGGAUAAACUUGUAUUCAUAUGCAUCUCUGUUUCAAACAAACAAAAAAAGUUCUGAUGAAGUCAGCCAAAAAGGCUUGCAUCCAUGUAUAUUAAUUGUCAAGGUUAACAAGAGAAUUUCUUUUCUAUUUAAAUUUUACUAGUUAAAUCAAUAGACAAGUAAAACCUAAUCCAAUAAAAAUUAUAAAGUAAAAUAUAUUAGUAUGAUUGUAUACCCAUCUUUGAAAUGAUAUCCACACAAGUCAGCUACUUGUUUCAAAGCGAUCCUCCAUUUCUGCAGCUUCUCCUUCUUAGCUUUGAACCUCUUCUGAUGCUUAGCCAUUUCUACUCCAUAACUACCUUUCUGGUGUCUGACAUCAGAAGGAUCUACGUUGUAAAAGACCGGUAUAACCAACAGCCCUUCACUCUUGCAGUGAAGGAUGGUUACAAGUUCAUCUAAACAAAAUGAGGAAGAAGCAUAGUUUUUAGAAAGCACAGUAAUAGCAAUCCUGGACUCUUGAAUUGCCUUCAAAAGUGCAGGUGUUAUUUCCUCUCCUCUGUGAAGCUUCUUUUCGUCAAAGAAGGUAUGAAUUCCCUUGUCACAAAGAGCCCUGUACAGAUUGCCAGUGAAACCAUAGCGUGUGUCUCCCCCUCUGAAGUUUAGGAACACAUCGUAGAUGGAUGCACGGGAACGUGUUGUUGCAGCCAUUAUUUGAUGAAAAAAGUUUAGUAUGAUAAUGGUUGAUAUGGAGGGAGUGUAGAAUCAAACUUGAACAAACAUGAAAAUGAAAGUAUACCAAAUGUUAUAAAAGUCAAGCCAAGCUCUUAUAAAGAAAGAUGCUCUCACUUUUUUUUCAUUUUAAAACCUACUUUUUAUAAUCAAAUUAUUACAAAUAAACAAUAAAAGUAUUUUUAAUAAUGGGUACUGUAUUUCAAAUAAUUAACUGGUGGUACUACUAAUUCUCCCGCCCCAAAAGGAAUUGUUAAUUAGAGAAUCAAAAUAUAUAUUAACUAAUAAGUAAUCUGAUAAUUUUUAAUCACAAGAGCUUCAAAAUUUAUAUAUAUAUAUAUAUAUAUAUAUAUAUAUAAAUUUCUCAUUGAAAGAGUUUUAUAAUUAUCUUGAUAAUUUUGCUGAAGACACCCACGCAUAAGAUGUUUUACUUUAAGUCAGAUGUAUUUCUUCGAAAAGUAAUAGAAGUUAAUUUUGUAUAAUAAAAAUCAUGUGAAAAUAUGAAAAAUGUUAACCAAUAAUUUAGGACAUUAAUUGAUUAAAAAAUAAAAAAAAUGAAAAAUAUCAAAUACGAUAUACUUUUUUUUGUAAUUUUCAAUGAAACUUAUUAUUUUCGUAACGCAAUUUUAAUUUUGGUGGGUCAAAUUAGAUUUUACAUAUUUUAUUUUUAUCUUUACUUCCCAAUUUAUAAUAAAUUUUUAAUCAAAUUUAAAGAUUAAUACACUGAAUAAGUGGUUUGCCAAACUGCUUGUUUUUUUUUUUUUAGCAAGAAGGCAUUCCUGAUACUCUUCUUGAUGCAUAUUAAUAGUAUUCUUUACGUCAUCAAAAAUAAAAUAUACUGAAUAAUAUUUUUCAAUUUAUCUUUCAUUGUAUUCAAACUUCUUUCUCAUUAUAGCCGACUUUUCUACGCAUGAAUAUUGCCAUCCUAAAAAAGGAAUAAUAUUCAUAUUCGUUUUAAUUUUAAAUUAAACAGCCGCGUUUCAUUUGCUUCUCUGACUAAAAGGCAGAAAAACAAACGUGUAGACCUUAAAAUAUUGAUGACUUAUAAAAUAUUUAAAAAAUAAAAAAAGGCUGAGAUAACAUUUAUGAGAAAAUAAAAAUGUGUUAAAAACUCAAUUUAGGUGGCUGAACAUGUAUGAAAAAUAUAUAUUGAGAGAAUUAAUAUUUAUAAAAGUCUAAAUAAAACUUGUGAAUUUAUUUAAAAAUAGAUUUUAUGUCAUUAAGUUGUUGGUACAAAAUAAUUUUAGUUACCUUUGUCAAAAAAUUUAGUUAAUCAUUUUUAAUAAGAACUGACAUUUUAAUUAUAUUUUUUUAUCUAUAAAUUAAAAUUUGAAAUUGAGAUUUUAUUUAAGGAGUUCUAGUCAACUUUUGCUUGAACAAAUCACAUUAUUUGAUGAAAAUAAUUUAAUUAUUAAAGGUGGAAAGAAACAAAAAAUAUAAAAAUAAAAUUAUUAUAAAAUAUUUAAAAGUAAAUAAAUAAUGUCUAUUAACAUAAUCUAUUGAAAAGAAGAUACAAUUAGUAAAAAAAAAAAAAAAAAAAGAGCCAAAUAGGGAUGGCAAGGUCUUCUCCAUAUUAGAAAAUCAAUCUGGGAUAAGACAGAGUAUAUUACCUUUUUUAUCUUCUAUAUGUGCUAACAAAACAUCAACAGCAAAAAUAUAGAAUAGCUUAUAAUGAUUUAUAUCCUCUAAACGUCUCUUUAUUUAACUUGUCCAUCAGUAGAAUCAUCAUUUUCAAUUAUUGACACACACACACGGCUUACAAAUCAGAAUAAGGUACAACAUCCAUUCCGCUGAAUAAACAUAGAAUUAAUACAAAUUAACCUAUAUACAAAUAGAUUGCGACAUAUAUACUCGCUUAUAUUUUUAAAAAAUAACAUGCAAAGCUCUCAUAGCCUCUUAACUGGUGCCAUACUUAGCCUUGUAGUCUUGCCAAAGCUGAUAAACUGCUUUUCCCAGUAACUGAACAAAGAGUUGAUCACUGUAACCAUCCCUCAUCUGCUAAUAGUCAAGAAAAUGAGCAGUAACAUCAUAACCCUGGUCCCAUUUCACUGAACUAAAGAUUUAUACCAAUGAAUCACACAAGGAAAUUUAACACUACAUUUUAAUUCAAAACUUCAAAGAUUAGGUUUAUGAAUCUUUUACUCAUUUUAUAUGUUUUUUUUCUCACUUCUAUGAGAUUUGGAAUUGCACCUCAUACUUACUCCAAUACAACAGAAGGUGAGAAGUAAGCCAUUUGGCGCCAGAAUAGACUAGCUAGACAACUUCCAUUUGAUUGGUUUUGGUAAAUAGUCAAAAUCAAAAAUAGAUAUGAUCAGCCUGCAUUUUAUUCUGGUUGACUAUUUGAACUUAGGCCAACGGACAAUGUUGUUUCAAUCUAGCUACUCUCGUGAAUGGGAUAAAAAUCAAGUGAAGUUAUUUCGGGGCUACAUAUUAUAUAUUUAUAUAUAUAUCAUACCACAUAUCUCUAGACGCCCAUCUUGCCGCGUCUAGUGUCAAUCUUCCAUGACCAUGUCCACUUUCUCCCUCGAAAGCACGGAACUGAGAAAUUAAGAUAAUAUGAUACAUUAAGGGAUGUUUGGUAGAAGAGAAAUACUUUCAUAAAUUUUGGGACUCAUAUUUUGUAGAAAUGAAUAAAAUUUAUUUGGAUGAUUUUUAAAAUAUUAUAUAAUUUUUUUAGAAAUCAAAGAAUUAUAUAUAUUUUUAUCGAUUAUUUUAAUUAUUUAUCACAUUAUAUAAUUUAAUAUAACAUAACAAGAUAUUUUUAUCAUAAUAAAAAAAUUAAACUUGAAGAAAAAGUAAAAUUCUCACUUUUUGUUAUUGGAGAAUUUUCGUGAGAAACUAAUUAAAAAAUAUUUUUAGAAAACAUUAUUUAGGAAUGCAAUUUUUUAAAAAAUGUAUACUAAAAUGAGAAAUUAAGUUUUUCAUCUUAUGAUUAUCAGAAAAUUAAAAAUUUAUCUUCUACCAAAUACUAAAAAAAAAUGAUCCGUACUUAUUACUACUUACAAACAUUUUUACUUAUGGAACCGCGGACAUGAUUAUUUUAGGUAAAACUGGAAAAAAAAAACUUCCACCAACAAUUAUUUGAUAUAGUUAGGUAAACUCUUGACAAACCCUUUCAUGUAAAUGGCGUUACCUUUGCUCUUAAACACAAUUGUCUUGUUUCUUUGGAAAUAUUUCUACUAUGCUCUUUUAGACCAUGGGGAAAAUACUGACUUUGUAUGCUUAAUUGUUUGGAAAAUUUUAGGUGUUAAUGCUAUAAAAUGACAACUAGUUGGGUGCAGUAGGAAUUGAUGGAAAUUCUGUUCUUAGUUAAAGAAAAGUAGCACUUGAGUAGUGACAUUCUUUAAAAAUAAAAAUAUGUAGACAAUUGUUUGUGUUCUGAAAUCAACAGAGUUUUUGAUAAAUAGUAACAGUUUUUAUAUUAAUCCAGCAGGAGCACGACCAUCCCCAUUCCACUGCCAAACGUGCACCAUUUCAUGGUACAGCACACUUGUUAUCUCUGUUUUCACGUCCCCUUUUAUUGUUUCCAUGCAUGUCAUCAACGAAUAAGCUUACCUUCUGCACAUUUUUUCUGUCAGAAGGGUUGCUUUGCUGAAAGAUCCUCCAUAUGAAUUGGGUGGCGGAGUCAAGUGUUGGCUUGGCGUAUUCAGCUCCUAUUAAAAGAGGCAAAGGGUGGGGUCAAUCUUAUUAGGCUCAGGUUUAAAUUUAAUAGAAUUAUUAUGAAUAAUAAUUUUUUUAAAGUAUUUAAUGUAAUUAUAUUUAGAAUUAGAAUAUAAAACAUCAUAAGCUGGAACAAUUAUAAAAUAAAUUUUUAGUACCUAGAAGUUUAUUACUCGAAUUUUUAAAUUUUAGAAUGUAAAAGUUAAAAUUUUAACCUUGUUUUUAUCAUAAAUAAUACCAGAAUAAGAUUAAAAAACAAGAUUAAAAAGUAAAAUGAAAUAAAUAAUGCAAAUUUAAUUUUUUUUAGCAUAGGUGGAGCGGUAAAGUUGUGCCUUGGUGACUUGUUGGUCAUGGGUUCGAGUUUGCAUAUGUAAGGGUAAGGCUGCGUACAACAUCCCUCCCUCAUACCUUCGCAUAGCGAAGAGCCUCUCGGCAAUAAGAUACGAAGUUUUUUUAUAACGAAUUGCUAAGAAUGCAAAACGUGAUUUUUGGAUGCAUGAACUGGAUUCGAAGGUGACUCUUUAGUGUAAAGUUUUGGGCUAUCUAAUACAUAAAUUAUAAUAAAAAAUAAUAACACUCGAUUAUAUGUUAUCUGAAGAAGUUUAUUUACUAUUUUUUAAAUUUAUUUUUUAGCUUCAAUUUAAUCUUCUUAUUUUUAAAAAGUGUGAUUUAGUUUUUUAAUUUAGUGUAUUUAUUUUUAAAGGUUUCAAUUAAUUACUUUAUUUUUUAAAAAAUAGAUUCACUUCUGAUUCCAUUUAAAAUCAAGAUUGGUUUCAUUUUUUGGAAAUGUUGGAAGGUGGCGGAAAGAAAAAGCAACCAAAUUAAACGUGUUUUUAAAAAAUAAAGGACAUGAUUAAACUUUUAUAAAAAAAAAAAAUAGAGGAAUCAAAUUAAAUUUAAAUAAAACUCUCCAUUCCACUAUUGGAACUUGUAAUAGCAGGCCAUUAAGAGCUGAUACAAUAUUGACAUUGAAAGACAUUGCCAUAUAUAAAAUCGCGUAUUCUUUAAACUAAAAGCUAUUAUUUAGCAUCUUAGGCUAUAUUGCCAUACAUGGCCUUAUAGUCUCGCCAGAGAUGAUUAACUGGUUUUGCCAGUAACAGAAAGAAGAACUCAUCGCUAUAAUCAGUCCUCAUCCACUGGUUAAGUUGACCCACAAACCCACUUUUGAGAGAAUCACAAUAAUCCAAAAAAUGAGCAGUAAUUUCAUAACCCUCAUUCCAUUUCUGUCCUUGCCCUGGUUUUCUCCAAUGACUGGCUGCAUAGUUUGCCUUCAGCCUCACAAAAUCUGCAAUACCUCCAGUUAAUCCACCAGGAGCCUUGCCAUUCCCCUUCCACUGCCAAACGUAGCAAACUUGAUGAAACAGCACCCCUGUGAUCUCUCUUUUCACAUCCCCACCACUAUACCCAUUAACAUAUCUUGCACUCACGUGAAUCUCGUUCUUCCUAGUGUAUGCAAUCCCGUCCAUGUCAUCCACGAAUAAGCUCACCUUCUGCACGCUUUUUCUGUCAGAAGGGUUGUUUUGCUGAAAGAUCUCCCAUAUGAAUUGGGUGGCCGAGUCAAGUGUUUGGUUUGCGUAUUCAGCUCCUAUUUUGUCACGGAAUCUCACACCACCGAGGGUUGUCAGUGCAUUGUUUAUUACUGUGAACGUAUAUCCCUGUCUUUCCCGUAUUGUAACAUCAAAGCUUAGUUUUGGACUCUCUAGGAUUUCAUCCCUGGGAAUUGUUUUGUAAUGUUCCACAGCAUAUUCCCAUUCUGCUACUGUUUUACCAAACAAGUUGGAACCUAUGGCUUCCAAAGCCCGUGGAAGGCCUGAAGCAUAAGCUACCACACGAUUCAAGACGUCCUCAUAACAUGGAUCAAUUUUUUCACUUUUGAAAGCAUUCCACGUAAGCAAUUGAAGAGCAGCAUUCUGAUUCAAAACCUUCACCUCAUAAGUUCUUUCAACGCCAUGAUAUUUUAGCAGAUGUUUGUCCCGAGUGGUAAUGAUGACUCUGCUACCGGGACCAAAGCAAUUAGGGCUUCCAACAAUAGCCUUUAAUUGCUCUUGCUCGUCAGCGUCGUCUAAAAUCAAGAGAACCUUCUUUUGUCGGAGCCUACGUUGUAUCAUUGAAGCUCCAUCUUGCCAACUUGUUAAGGUGAUGUCCUUCUCACCAAGUAAUUUUAAAAGAAGGAUGCUUUGGAGGUGUUUUAACCCAUGUUUAUUUGAUUCUUCUCUCACGUUUUGAAGAAAACAUGAUUCGUCAAAAUGGAGAGCAAUCAAAUUAUAAACAGCUAGAGCAAGGGUUGUUUUUCCUAACCCACGCAUCCCAUGUAUCCCUAUGAUGUGGACAACAUCAUCGGAUCCUACAUCCAAAAGCUUCCUUACCUCUAUCACUUGUGACUCUAAAUCAACUGGAUAAUCCGCAACAUGUAAAGAAGCAUGAUUGAUCUUCCUAGAGACCUCCUCCACAAUAUUCCCAAUAAACUUGUAUUCAUAUGAAUCUCUGUUUCAAACAAACAAAAAAAGUUCUAAUGAAGUCAACCCAAAAGCCUUGCAUCCAUGUCUUGGUAGGUAUAUUAAUUGUCAAGGUUAACAAGAGCAUUUCUUUUCUAUUUAAAUUUUACUGCUUAAAUCAAAGACAAGUAAAACCUAAUCCUAUAAAAACCAUAAAGUAAAAUAUAUUAGUAUGAUUGUAUACCCAUCUUUGAAAUGAUAGCCAGACAAGUCAGCUACUUGUUGCAAAGCCAUCCUCCAUUCCCGCAGCUUCUCCAUCUUAGAUUCGAACCUUUUCUGAUGCUUAGUCAUUGUUUCUCCAUAACUACCUUUUUGGUGUCUGACAUCAGAAGGAUCUACUUUGUAAAAGACCGGUAUAACCAACAGCCCUUCACUCUUGCAGUGAAGGAUGGUUACAAGUUCAUCUAAACAAAAUGAGGAAAAAGCAUAGUUUUCAGAAAGCACAGUAAUAGCAAUCCUGGACUCGUUAAUUGCGUUGGAGAGUGCAGGUGUUAUUUUGUCUCCUCUCGGAAGCUCCUGAUCAUCAAUGAAAGUGUAGAUUCCCCUGUCACCAAGAGCUUUGUAGAGGUUGCCAGUGAAACCAUUGCGUGUGUCUAAACCUCUGAAGCUGAGGAACACAUCGUAGAUGGAUGCAAGGGAACGUGUUGUCGCAGCCAUUAUCAGAAUAAAAAAAUUUUAGUAUGGUAAUGGUUGAUAUGAUAGGAGUGUAGAAUCAAACUUGAACAAAUAUGAAGAUGAAAGUAUACCAAAUGUUAUAAAAGUCAAGUCAAGCUCUUGUUAUCCAUCAAUAAAUUUAGUAUGGAAAUGGUUGAUAUGAUAGGAGUGUAGAAUCAAACUUGAACAAUUAUAAAGAUGAAAGUAUAGCAAAUGUUAUAAAAGUCAGUAAGCUCUUAUUAUCCAUCAAUAAAUUUAAUAAAUAUUUUAUAUUAAUGUCACGAUAAAGAAUAUCUUUAAUAUAAACUUAAUUCCUAAUUAACUACCUACAAGUUAUGAGACUAGUUGUAAAAAAAUUAUAUUUUAUAAUCAGAUCAUUUACAAACUAAGCAUUUUCUUUUGUAGAAGUAUAAAAUUAUUUUUAAUAUUUGCUAAUGUAUUUAAAAUAAUUAACUGGUGGUACUAAAUUUCAAUUUCUCCCCGUCCCCCAUUAAAAUUGUUAGACGUAAAAAAUUAGUAAAUUUCACAAAUUCUGUGAGCUGCGAUCAAUGUGCAAGAGCACAUUCUUUCAACUCCAAGUUCAAGGCUAUAUUCGGAAAUUUAGCUCUCAAAAAGGAAACCAAAUUCAAAAUUAUGAUUCAUUUAACUUUCCAUAGGAUGAGAACUAGAUGUUUGUUCCAAAGCAAAGGACGUUUAGAUAAAUAAAUCUAAGUUGGUGGAAAUUAAUUUAAAACUGAAUUACAAUUUUAGUUUUCAAACAAUAUUUUCAGAUCGAAUUCAAUUUUUACAUCCUAUUAAUAUAAAAAAAUUAUCCUACCAAUUCAUCAGAAAUAAAAGUAGACGUGACUUGUGAAGUGGUUAAUAUUUCAAUAAUUAAUUAUAUACAUAUUUAAUUAUUAUUAUUAUAAUUAAUUAUAGAAAUAAGUUUUGUAUCUAAAAUUGUUAAAUAAAAUACUACUUUAAAAUAAUUUAUUUUAUUUAAAUAGUUUUAAAAAUACUUUUAGUAUGAAAUUUUUUAUUAUAAAUAUAAAUUUAUUAGUUCCUGAUAACAAAAAACGGUUAUUAAUUCCUUUUUAAAAAACAUAAAGUUAUUAAUCACCUACUAUUGUGACCAUAAAAUUUCUGAUAACAAAUCACAUGUGCCCAUGCCAAGUUGCCAACUCCAAUCCAACCAUUGUUCUUUAGGUCAAAGUCCAAGAACAUGAGCUGAAUGGGUUACCAAUUUAAAAAUAACGCAUCCCCCCUCUGAAUGUGAGAUAUACCACUUGUUACUUUGGUCUCCUGGCGUCAUUGUCAAGAUGUUUUCAAACUCAACACUGAUUGAAGCUCCUUGGGGAAUCAGUCCUGAUCCUUUGGGUUAGGUUGACAUUUUCAGUGAUUUCUCUUGGGAAAUGGUUGGUUUGCUUUUCUGGUUUGUGUACAUGUUGCUAUGCAAACAUUGAUGCUUAACUCUUUGCCAUCUUUCAUGAUCUCAAUGUAGCUCCGAGCUCCGGUUAUUGUUAUUGGCAUUGGCAUUAAUUACAUACUUAUGACAUUCUUUAUCUCAACAUUAUUAUAAAUAAAUAAAACAUAAAAAUAUUGAUCAUCAAAUUUAUGCAGUUAAAAGAUUCACAUUUAUUUUAGUAUUAUCAAAUAAGACUUAUUAAAAAAUAAUCAUCUCAAAAUAAGGCCGUCAAAAUUUACAAAAAAUAUUUUUUUAAAUUAAUGAGGUAAAAUAAUCGCCUACAUGCAAUGUGGUGUCAUGUAAGUAAAAAACCACUCUGAGACAUUUAGGAAUACAUAACAAGACACACCACACAAUGAGUAUGUUAGGUCACUAUCACUAAGUAAAAUCAUAAGGUGACCAGCCAGUGUUACUCUGUUUUGCGAGAAUAUUCCAACCAUAUGAGAUCAAUUUAAACUUAAAGAAGUACUCAAAUCGAAUGGUUUUACCCUCAAGGUCUAGACUCCCAAGAAUCCGUUAGGGUCUCACCUUCCUAAUUCAGGUCCAACCCUUCAAACAAUUUUUGCAAGCAGAUACUGCUCAUGAAUUAUAUAAUACCCAUGAACUCACACUUGUGUUUUAAACACGUUUAACAUAUUGCGCUACAAUUUAACACUAAUUCCUAACUAGAAAACCUACUUUCUCCCUUUAACAUUGUGCAUCAAUAUUUUUCUCAAGAUAAACACUGGUCGGGUAAUUGUAUAAUUCACAACUCAAAACACAAGUAAUGUCACAUCAAGUGUUAACCACACACUUAUGCACAACUAACACAACUAAAACUUAUGUUUACAACUUCACAUCUCAUUAUGUCACAAUCAACCAUCUCAUGUUUAUAUGUAUCUCGCAAUUUAACACAUUCAACUUUACACUUAUACUCAAUCCCCAUAACAAUAUAAUAAUUUCAAAGUAAUAUAUUAUUCUACAACUCAUCAUAUACUCAAUUUAUCAAUUAUAUACAAUUUUAAUUACAAUUUCAUAAUUUUGAUAUAACUAUUUGGUACACUAAUCUUAUUCAAAAAACAAAUAAAUUAUACAAAAAUAUUUCUCAAUUCACGGGGAGUAAAUUAUACAAAUAAAUUAUACAAAAAUAUUUAAAAAAACUAUAUUUAUUUUAUUUUAUAAAUAAGUACAAAAAUGUCACAAUAUUUUUCUCUAUUUUUAAAUAUUUAUGAAAAUGAAAAGUAAGAUAUAAUAUGUAAAGCAUAUAUUGCUAUUUUGGACUUUUUUUGGGGGGAUGUUGUUACCAUGACUAUCCACUUUCUCCCUCGAAAGACAAGGCAUCCAAUUUUAAUAUGAUACAUUAAGGGAUGUUUGGUAGAAGAAAAAUACUUUCUGUUAUGGUUCGCGUCAGGGAUGGGGUAGAGGAAGGAGAUGAAAACGCAGAAUGUUCACAAGCCCUUAUUCGAGAAAGGGGAAAACUCCUUUAUUUCUUGAAGGAUAAUGUUCUUACAUUCUACGAUUAUACAUGUUCAGUAUUUAAAGUGAUUCUACGUAACUGCCUAACAAAUUCAGUUACGUCUAACGGUAUCGGGUUCGAGUAGAAUACGUGGUCCAAGCUUUCGAAAAUUAAGCACGUGUGGUGUAAGCUUGCCCUAACUACCCCUGGUUAUGUUUGGGCCUUUAUGGAGAGCCAUGCAGGUUGGCAACGUGAUAAUCCUUCAGGUGAAAUGGUGCGGACCUGACUCGUGCUGGUCUGAGUCGUGACUGGGCCGAGUCACUAACAAUACCUCCUCCUUCCAAGUCCACCUUGUCCUCAAGGUGGUAAAGCUCGCGUAGGGAGGACCAUGGUUCCCACGAUGUGUCCUCUGGUGGUUCGCCUACCCACUGGGUGAGGACCAGUUGUGUGGGGGGGGGGGGGGUCCGUAGAGUCAUCGAGUUUUGUAUCUAGGAAGCAUAGUGGUCGUCGUAACGGUUCCUUAGAGAGAGUUCCGAGGGUCCAAGUGUCUGUGAGAGGGGGCUGGGGUCCAUGGUGAGCUCGGAGGAGCGAAGAGUGAAAAUCGGGGUGGAUCUGAGAAUGGGGUGGAAGACGCAGGCGGUAAGCCACAGAACCAAUGCGUUCUUCAAUCUGGAAGGGCCCAAAGAAUCGUUUGGAGAGCUUGGGGUGGUGGUGACCGGAAAUGGAGGUUUGACGGCCAGGGCGUAGCCGCACGUAGACCCAUUGUCCGACGGAAAAUGAAACAUCAUCACGCUUAGCAUCAGCAUAGUGUUUCAUUGUAAGUUGGGCCUUUUGUAAUUUCUUCUGAAGCCGGGAGUGUAGAGCUUGUCGUGACUCGAGCAAGGUCUGAGCAGCUUCAUUGUUGGUUGUAUUAGGAAGGUAGUCAUGUGCAACUGGUGGUGGUUUUCCAUAAAUGAUCUCGAACGGUGUUGAGCCUAUGCUGGAGUGCAGAGACGUGUUAUAACACCACUCUGCAAGGGCCAAGUAAUUGAACCAGGCCGUGGUUUGGGAGUGGACAAAGCAUCAGAGGUAUUGCUCGAGAACUCUAUUCAUUACUUCCGUCUGCACGUCCGAUUGGGGGUGAUAGGCCGUGCUGAGACGCAAUUGAGUGCCGGAAAGUCUAAACAGUUCACGCCAAAAGUUGCUUAAGAAAAUUGGAUCGCGAUCGGACACGAUGCUCUUUGGGAAGCCAUGUAAUUUACAGACAAUUUGCAGGACGAGGUUAGCUACUUUGAAGGCAGUGAAACUAGUUGGUAAAGCACCUAAGUGUACCCCUUUAGAGUAUCUAUCUACGACAACAAAUAUGACUGUGAAGCCAUUAGAGGGAGGAAGGUGUGUAAUGAAAUCCAUAGACAGGUCUUCCCAGACCCCCGUAGGUAAUGGCAGUGGCUGCAGAAGGCCUGUCGGGCGCUUGGAGGAGUUCUUAUUUUGUUGGCACACUGAGCACUCCUUGAUGAAGCGACGAACAUCGUGCUUGAGGUUGGUCCAGAAGAAAUUGGAUUGGACUCGAUGGGUUGUCUUCGCAACUCCGAGGUGGCCACCUAACGGGGUUGUGUGGUACUCUGAUAGUAGACUGGGAAUGCAGGGAUUGUUGCUAUUUAACCAUAUUCGACCCUGGAACAAUACGAGAUUGUUGCAGAGGGUAUAGCCAGGGUGGUUUGCUGGGUUGGACUGUAUCGAAUGCAUGAGUUGCUGAAAUUCCGGGAGGGACUCCAAUGACUUUCGAAUGUCAUUGAGGAAGUCCAGCUGGGGAACUGAGAGGAUUAAGAGCUGGCCGGUGGAUGAGGGGGGUCGAGAAAGAGCGUCGGCAACCACGUUGGAAGAUCCAGCUUUAUAUUGUAUGGAGUAAUCAUAACCUAAUAAUUUGGAGAGAUAAUAAUGCUGCUCCGGGGUUUGUAUUAUUUGCGUCAUGAGCUCGCGAAUGCUUUUGUGGUCCGUGAGGAUCGUGAAUGGGCGUCCUAAGAGAUAUUGUCGCCAUUUUCUAACAGCUGCGACAAUGGCAUGGAGUUCACGAAUGUAUGUUGAAGCUUGGGUCAAACAAGGGGUGAGACUCUUGCUGAAAUAUGCCAAAGGAUGUCCACUCUGUGUGAGGACUGCUCCGAUAGCGGUUGCUGAUGCAUCAGUUUCAAUCACGAAGGGAGUGGAGAAGUUGGGUAGGGCUAACACGGGGGCGUUUGUCAUGGCGAAUUUGAGCUGGGAAAAGGCCUCCUGAGAUUCUGAGGUCCAGGUGAAUGCAUCCUUGCAGAGUAAGCUCGUGAGGGGAGCUGCGAUGGUGGCGUACCCCUUUAUAAACUUUCUGUAGAAUCCGGUGAGGCCUAAAAAUGCUCGGAGUUCCUUGGCGGUCCUCGGGUUUGGCCAUUGCACCAUAGCUUGGAUCUUCGAAGGUUCUGGAGUAACUCCCUUGCCGGAAACAACAUGCCCGAGGUAUUCAAUGGUCUCUUGGGCAAACGAGCACUUGGAUUGCUUGAGAUAGAACUCACCAUGCUGUAGAGUUUCGAAGAUAGUUUCCAGAUGUUGAAGGUGAGAUGACAGCGAGCUGCUAUAAACUAGAAUGUCAUCGAAGAACACUGUUACAAAUCUGCGUAAAAAUGGUUGCAACAGGUUGUUCAUGGCCGAUUGAAAGGUGGAUGGGGCAUUGCUGAGCUCGAAGGGCAUAACCAGAUAUUCGAAAUGGCCAUUAUGCGUCCGAAACGCUGUUUUCUCCACAUCUUCUUCGUGCAUCAGGAUUUGGUGAAAUCCUUGCCGGAGAUCGAGCUUGGAGAACUAGGUGGCCUGUCCUAGCUUGUCGAGGAGCUCGUCGAUCGUUGGUAUAGGAAAACGAUCUCGAAUGGUAACUGUGUUGAGCGCCCUGUAGUCCACACACAGUCUCCAUGUGCCGUCUUUCUUCUUAACGAGGAGGACCGGCGAGGAGUAGGGACUGAGACUGGGGCGAAUGAGGCCGGCGGAAAGCAACUCAGAAACUUGUUUCUCAAUUUCAUUCUUUUGGAAGUGUGGGUACCUGUAAGGCCUCACGUUUAUCGGGGCUGUGGAAGGGGCUAAUGUAAUUCGGUGAACCACUUGUCGUGGUGGGGGUAGUCUGGAUGGGGACUGAAAUAGGUGGUUAUAACGGAGAAGAAGGUGCUGGAUGGAGGGAAGAGGGUGUUGGGCCGGGGCGGUUUCGGUUCGGGUAACGGGCUGAACACUCAGUUGGUAAAAGGCCGAGGUGGAGCCGGUUUGAAGGAACUGUUUCAGUUGGGUUGCGGAAACGGGUUCAGGCCCACAUGUAGCGUCUGCUGCUAAAGACACCUCCUGACCCUGGUGUGUAAAGUUCAUGAUACCAGAUGUGUAGUCUGUCGUUAUCGGGCCCAACUUCUUCAGCCAGUCGAUGCCUAGGACCGCAUCAGCUCCAUUGAUUUGCAGGAGGUGGAAUGAUACGAGGAAUUGGUGGCCUUGGACGGUGACUAAUGUCUCUGAGCAAACCUGGUUACAAUCUAAGGUGGAACCGUUGCCCACUAAGACUUGGAGGGACCGAGUUGCUUGGACUGGUAGCUUCAGGAAUUGAGCGAUGCGCGGUUGAAGGAAGUUAUGCGUACUUCUGCUAUCAAUCAAAAUGGUUAACUGCGUGUUCUUGAUGGUGCCAUAGAGCCGAAAGGUGUCUGUGGAUGGUAAUCCUGACAACGCAUGAAGGCUGAUAUGUGAACAAGUCGAAUCUGGUGAGGGCUCGGGUUUGUCAUCAAUGGCAGAAGGUGGUGUCUGUUCGAGCUCGAGUAUGCUUUCUUCAGUGGUGGAGGUUUGUUCAUCAGCAAUGAGGAGCAUGACGCGUCCUUUACAACGAUGAUUAGUGCUCCACUUCUCGUCACAAUUGUAACAUAGUCCUCUUUCUCGUCGGAAAGCGAUCUCGGCCGGAGUUCGUUGCACAAAUGGAGGUUUUGCUUUAAUGGUGGGAUUGGGAUUGAAGGGCGGCGAGGGUUUAGGUGGAAAUGGAUUGCGUGGGGCCAAUACCGCUUUAUCUCGAAGCUUCUAUUCUUGAAGCUUGGCAAGGGCAGUAGCUUGCAGGAGCGAAAUAGGUUGAAGGGCCAUUACCUCACGGCGAACCUCUGGGCAUAAUCCUAAAAUGAAACAGCUUAAAAGAAAUGGGGGAGGAAGGCCUACCACUCGGUUUGCAAGACGUUCGAAUUCCGUUAGGUAGUCAUUAACUGUUCCCUUCUGCGUUAACUUGAAUAGUGCCCCCUUGGGGUCCUCGUAAAACGUUGGUGCGAAGCGCGACUCAAGGGCUUCGAGGAAGCUUUCCCAGGAGGUGAUCAGUCCAUUGCUGAACAUCCACUGAUACCAACUCAGUGCUGUUCCGUCGAGAUACAGGGAGGCGACUGUGACUCGCUCUUCUUCAGGCGUGUUGUGGUAUUGAAAAAGUUGCGUAAGCUUGAAAAUCCAGCCUAAGGGGUCACGGCCAUCGAAACGAGGGAUGUCUAUUUUAACUGAGUUUCGUGGAUGAUUUUGAUGAUUUGCGGUGUUGGUGGCGUUCCGGCCGGAGUCGUGGAGGCGAAGGUGGUCGAGGAUGGCAUCAACUUUGCCGGAAAGGUCUGUGUAUCGGUCUGUAAGUGAGGCCUGGCUAUUGUUAAGACGGGUAAUUGCCUCUUCAAGGCAGUCAGUGGUGGUUUUUCUGGUUCCGUGAUCGGCCAUGGCAAUGGCGGCGCCGGCAGGUCAGACCAGUUGUUAUGGUUCGCGUCAGGGAUGGGGUAGAGGAAGGAGAUGAAAGCGCAGAAUGUUCACAAGCCCUUAUUCGAGAAAGGGGAAAACUCCUUUAUUUCUUGAAGGAUAAUGUUCUUACAUCCUACGAUUAUACAUGUUCAGUAUUUAAAGUGAUUCUACGUAACUGCCUAACAAAUUCAGUUACGUCUAACGGUAUCGGGUUCGAGUAGAACACGUGGUCCAAGCUUUCGAAAAUUAAGCACGUGUGGUGUAAGCUUGCCCUAACUACCCCUGGUUAUGUUUGGGCCUUUAUGGAGAGCCAUGCAGGUUGGCAACGUGAUAAUCCUUCAGGUGAAAUGGUGCGGACCUGACUCGUGCUGGUCUGAGUCGUGACUGGGCCGAGUCACUAACACUUUCCGAUCAUGAAUUUUGGGACUCAUAUUUUGUCACGGAAAGCCACGCCGCCAGGAGUUGAGAGUGCGUUGUUAGUGACAGUGUAUUCAACUGCAUGCAUGUGUUGCAUGUACUGCAGAUAGGAAUACUAAGAAACAAAGUGCAUAGGAUUGGGUCCAUUCGGUGCUUGCUUUAUGUAGAAAACGUAUAAGAUCCUUCCUUUCAAGUUUCCACGACUGCCAUUAAUGUUUGUAAACAUUGAAUGCUUGGUUGUUCCGGUUGGUACGUAACUCAAUUUUGAAUUUUCAGAAAACUGGGGUGUCUAUGGUCAAGUCUUUUUCUAGAAAUGACAAACAGGCAAAGGGUGGGGUCAAUCUUAUUAGGCUCAAGUUUAACUUUAAUAGAACUAUUAUGAAUAAUAUUUUUUUUGAAAGUAUUUAAUGUAAUUAUAUUUAAAAUUAGAAUAUAAUUAAAACUUCAUAAGCUGGAACAAUUAUAAAAUAAAUUUUUAGUACCUAGAAGUUUAUUACUCGAAAAUUUAAAAUUUUAGAAUGUAAAAGUUAAAAUUUUAACCUUGUUUUUAUCAUAAAUAAUACCAGAAUAAGAUUAAAAAAACAAGAUUAAAAAGUAAACGAAUUUCUAAGGAUGCAAAAUGUGAUUUUGGGAUGCAUGAACUGGAUUCGAAAGUGACUCUUUAGUCAAAAGUUUUGGGCUAUCUAAUACAUAAAUUAUAAUAAAAAAAUAAUAACACUCUAUUAUAUGUUAUCUAAAGAAGUUUAAUUACUAUUUUUUAGCUUCAAUGUAAUCUUCUUAUUUUUAAAAGGCGUAAUUUAGUUUUUUAAUUUAUUUAUUGAGUUUAAUUUAGUCUAUUUAUUUUUAAAGGUUUCAAUUAAUUACUUUAUUUUUAAAAAAGUAGAUUCACUUCUGAUCCCAUUUAAAAUUAAGACUGGUUUCAUUUUUUGGAAAUGCUGGAAGCUGGCGGAAAGAAAAAGGAACCAAAUUAAACGUGUUUUUAAAAAAAUAAAGGAUAUGAAUAAACUUUUAUAAAAAAAUAGAGGAAUCAACUUAAAUUUAAAUAAAACUCUCCACUCCACCAUUGGAACUUGUAAUAGCAGGCCAUUAAGAGCUGAUACAAUAUUGAUAUUGAAAGACAUUACUGCGAUAUAUAUAAUCUCGUAUUCUUUAAACUAAAAGCUAUUAAUUAGCAUCUUAGGCUAGAUUGCCAUACUGGGCCUUAUAGUCUCGCCAGAGCUGAUCAACUGGCUUUCCCAGUAACUGAACGAAGAACUGAUCACUAUAACCAGUCCUCAUCAACUGGUUAAGUUGAGCCACAAACCCACUUUUGAGAGAAUCACAAUAAUCCAAAAAAUGAGCAGUAAUAUCAUAACCCUCAUCCCAUCUCUGUCCUUGCCCUGGUUUUCUCCAAUGACUGGCUGCAUAGUUUGCCUUCAGCCUCACAAAAUCUGCAAUACCUCCAAUUAAUCCACCAGGAGCCUCACCAUUCCCAUACCACUGCCAAACGUAGCAAACUUGAUGAAACAGCACCCCUGUGAUCUCUCUUUUCACAUCCCCACCACUAUACCCAUUAACAUAUCUUGCACUCACGUGAAUCUCGUUGUUCAUAGUGUAUGCAAUACCCUCCAUGUCAUCCACGACUAAGCUCACCUUCUGCACAUUUUUUCUGUCAGAAGGGUUUUUUUGCUGAAAGAUCCUCCAUACGAAUUGGGUGGCCAACUCAAGUGUUCGGUUUGCGUAUUCAGCUCCUAUUUUGUCACGGAAUCUCACACCACCGGGGGUUGUCAGUGCAUUGUUUAUUACUGUGAACUUAUAUCCCUGUGUUUCCUGCUUUGUAGCAUCAAAGCUUACUUUUAGAAUAUCUACGAUUUCAUCAAUGGGAAUUCUGCUAUAAUGUUCCACAGCAUAUUCCCAUUCUGCUACUGUUUUUUCAAACAAGUGGGAACCUAUGACUUCCAAAGCCAGUGGAAGGCCAGAAGCAUAAGCUACCACACGAUUCAAGACGUGCUCAUAACUUGGAUCAAUUUUUUCUCUUCUGAAAGCAUUCCAAGUAAGCAAUUGAAGAGCAGCAUUGUCAUUCAAAACCUUCACCUCAUAAGUUCUUUCAAUGCCAUGAUAUUUUAGCAGAUGUUUGUCCCGAGUGGUAAUGAUGACUCUGCUACCGGGACCAAACCAAUCAGGUCUUCCAACAAUAGCCUUUAAUUGCUCGUGCCUGUCUGCAUCGUCUAAAAUCAAGAGAACCUUCUUUCUUCGGAGCCUAUGUUGAAUCAUUGAAGCUCCUUCUUGCCAACUUGUUAAGUUGAUGUCCUUCUCACCAAGUAAUUUUAAAAGAAGGAUGCUUUGAAGGUGUUUUAACCCAUGUUUAUUUGAUUCUUCUCUCACAUUUUGAAGAAAACAUGAUUCGUCAAAAUGGAGAGCAAUCAAAUUAUAAACAGCUAGAGAAAGGGUUGUUUUUCCUAACCCACGCAUCCCAUGGAUCCCUAUGAUAUGGACAACAUCAUCUGAUCCAACAUCCAAAAGCUUCAUUAAGUCUGUCACUUGUGACUCUAGACCAACUGGAUAAUCCAGAACAUGUAAAGAAGCUCGAUUAAUCUUCCUAGAGACCUCCUCAACAAUGCUCCCAAUAAACUUGUAUUCAUAUGCAUCUCUGUUUCAAACAAACAAAAAAAGUUCUAAUGAAGUCAACCUAAAAGCCUUGCAUCCAUGUCUUGCUAGGUACAUUAAUUGUAAAGGUUAACAAGAGCAUUUCUUUUCUAUUUAAAUUUUACUGGUAAAAUCAAAGACAAGUAAAACCUAAUCCUAUAAAAACCAUAAAGUAAAUUAUAUUAGUAUGAUUGUAUACCCAUCUUUGAAAUGAUGGCCAGACAAGUCAGCUACUUGUUUCAAAGCCAUCCUCCAUUUCUGCAGCUUCUCCAUCUUAGAUUCGAACCUUUUCUGAUGCUUAAUCAUUGCUUCUCCAUAACUACCUUUCUGGUGUCUGAGAUCAGAAGGAUCUACGUUGUAAAAGACCGGUAUAACCAACAGCCCUUCACUCUUGCAGUGAAGGAUGGUUACAAGUUCAUCUAAACAAAAUGAGGAAAAAGCAUAGUUUUGAGAAAGCACAGUAAUAGCAAUCCUGGACUCUUGAAUUGCCUUCGAAAGUGCAGGUGUUAUUUCAUCUCCACCGUGAAGCUUCUCUUCAUCAAAGAAGGUAUGAAUUCCCUUCUCACAGAGAGCCCUGUAUAGAUUGCCAGUGAAACCAUAGCGUGUGUCUUCCCCUCUGAAGCUGAGGAACACAUCAUAGAUGAAUGGAAGGGAACGUGUUGUUGCAGCCAUUAUUAGAAGAAAGAAGUUUAGUAUGAUAAUGGUUGAUAUGGUGGGAGUGUAGAAUCAAACUUGAACAAAUAUGAGAAAGAUAUAUACCAAAUGUUAUAAAAGUCAAGUACGUCAAGCUCUUAUUAAUUGUCUGUUAUAAAAUUCAAUUCAAGCUCUUAUUCUAUGUUAUAAAAGUCAAGUUAAGAUCUUAUAAAGAAAGAUGCUCUCACUUUUUUUCAUUUUAAAUACUACUUUUCAUAAUCAAAUUAUCACAAAUAAACACUAAAAGCAUUUUUAAUAAUUGGUACUGUAUUUCAAAUAAUUAACUGGUGGUACUACUUAUUCUCCCUCCCCAAAAAUAAUUGUUAAUUAGAGAAUGAAAAUAUAUAUUAAAUAAUAAGUAAUCUGAUAAUUUUUAAUCACAGGAGCUUCAAAAUUUGUCUUUUUAUGUAUAUAAAUUUCUCAUUGAAAGAGUUUUAUAAUUACCUUGAUAAUUUUACUGAAAUUAAAACACCCACACAUAAGAUGUUUUACUUUAAGUCAGAUGUAUUUGUUCGAAAAGUAAUAGAAGUUAAUUUUGUAUAAUAAAAAAUGUUAACCAAUAAUUUAGGACAUUGAUUAAAAAAUAAAAAUAAAAAUUUUGAAAAAUCUCACAUAUGAUAUACUUUCUUUUUGUAAUUUUUAAUGCAACUUAUUAAUUUGAUAACGCAACUUCAAUUUUGGUGGGUCAAAUAUGAUUUUACAUAUUUGAAUUUUAUCUAUACUUCUCAAUUUAUAAUCAAUUUUUUAAUUAAAUUUAAAGGCUGAUACACUGAAUAAGUGAUUUGGCACAGUAAAAUGAGGAAGAAGCAUAGUUUUGAGAAAGCACAGUAAUAGCAAUCCUGGACUCUCGAAUUUCCUUCAAAAGUGCAGGUGUUAUUUAUUUCGUCUACUCUCAGAAGCUCCUGAUACAGUGUAGAUUUCCCUGUCAUCAAGAGCUUUGUGGAGAUUGCCAGUGAAACCAUAGCGUGUGUCUAAACCUCUAAAGCUGAGGAACACAUCAUAGAUGGAUGCAAGGGAACGUUUCGUUGCAGCCAUUAUUAGAAGAAACAAGUUUAGUAUGAUAAUGGUUAAUUGAUAUGGUAGGAAUGUAGAAUCAAACUUGAACAAAUAUGAAAAAGAUAGUAUAGAAAAUGUAAAGUGGGGCAAACCAAGCAUUAUUUGACGCGGUCAUACAAAUGUUUAUUAUUAGGCAGAGUAACAAUGACAUAUGGGGCCAAACAAUAACUAGUAACGCGGACACAUCGUACCAAAGUCGAUAGCCUUGUGCAAAAUAUGUGGCUUUUUUUCUUUUGUUUUCUCUCUCUGUCAAAUAAGUCAAAAUCUUAUGUUGUUUAAUUUUAUUAAGGUCUCAGGUUUUGCUGGAUGAUGAGAAGAGGAUGGUUAAAAUUAAAGAUAAGAUUUCUAUAUUAAUUAUUAAUAAAUUUAAUUAAUAUUUCAUAUUAAUGUCAUCAGUAAAGAAUAUCUUUACUAUAUCUUCUACCUACAAGCUAUGAGACAAGUAGUAAAAAAAUUACAUUUUAUAAUUAAAUCAUUACAAUCUAAGUAUUUUUUUUGUAGAAGUAUAAAAUUAUUUUUAGUAUUUGCUACUGCAUGUAUUUAAAAUAAUUAACUGGUGGUACUAAAUUGUAAUUUCUCCCCGUCCCCCAUUAAAAUUGUUAGACGUAAAAAGUUAGUCGAUUUCACAAAUUCUGUGAUCUGAGAUUAAUGAGCAAGAGCACAUUCUUUCAACUCCAAGUUGAAGGCUAUAUUCGGAAAUUUAGCUCUGAAAAAGGAAAAAAGGAAACCAAAUUCAAAAAUUAUGAUUCAUUUAACUUUCCAUAGGAUGAGAAUUAGAUGUUUGUUCCAAAGCCAAGAACAUGAGCUGAAUGGGUUGCCAAUAAAAAAAUAACGCAUUCCCCCUCUGAAUGUGAGAUAUGGCAUUCAAAGACUAGUUACUUUGGUCUCCUGGCCUCCUUGUCAAGAUAAGAUGUUUUCAAACUCAACACUAAUAGAAGCUCCUAUGGGAAUCCGUCCUGAUCCUUCGGGGUAGGGUGACAUUCACUACUAUAAAAUGAUGAUUCAACAUCGCCUCAGCUACAUGGGUUCGCCUCAUCUACAUCGGUUGUCGAAAAACCGUUGUAGUAAAACAUACGGUGACAUUUUUAAAAUUAAAACUAACUAUGUUAAGGUGUUAAUGGCGGUUUUUUAUAAAAUCGCCUUUUAUGUGUAUGUUACAAAGACAGUUUUAUAAAAACCGUCUUUGUUCAUAAAUACACUAUUAUGGUUUUUUAAUCACCCAUCUUUGAAGUCACGUGAUUUUAAUUUCAAUUCUAUUUUCACUUUCGAAGCUGAAGACUACGCCAUUUUCUGGUGACAUACGCAUUUUCUGGUCACCGAAUUCAACAAUGUCAUCGACGCACUGCCGCCGGGGACGACCAACGACCUGCACGAGAUCACGAAGCGAAUGGUGGCAGGAGGCUUCGGGAAGGAGUGCUCGCACGUGUACAGAAGUUGCCAGAGAGAGUUCUUGGAAGAAAGUGUGUCGAGAUUAGGGUUACAGAAGCUCAGCAUUGAGGAGGUUCAUAAGAUGACAUGGCAGGACCUCGAAGAGAAGAUUAAGAAAUGGAUUAAGGCCUCCAACAUCGCUCUCAAGAUCUUCUUCCCCAGCGAGCGCCGUUUCUGUGACCGUGUCUUCUUCGGAUUCGCCUCCGCCUCAGACUUCUCCUUCAAGGAGUUUUGUCGCUGGAAAGGCUGUUCCGAAUCCUCGACGUGUUUGAGACGCUGCGUGACCUAUUUCUGGAGUUUGAGGCUCUGUUUUCUGAUCAGUUUAGUGUGUCGCUCAGGAAUGAAGCGAUUACGAUUUGGAAGAGGUUGGGGGAAGAGAUUAGGAGAAUUUUUAUGGAGCUGGAGAAUUUGAUUCCCGGGAUCCGGCAAAGAUUGCAGUUCCUGGUAGCGGACUUCAUCCGAUCACUCGCUAUGUGAUAAACUACCUCCGUGCCACAUGUCAGUCACGGCAGAGCUUGGAACAGUUUUUUGAAGACUAUGGCAGGAAAUAGUACCCAAAGCUUGAUGAUAGGGUUCCUUCCUCUUCUUCUCUGUCAGUGCACUAUCAAAGAAGCUCCUGGAAUAAGGUAUUAGGGAUUCUGAAGUUCGAUAGUAAUGGGUCAAUGCCCCCUAUUAGCUUGGCAAAGUCAACGAAGGAGAAACUCAAGUCGUUUAACACGGUUUUUGAGGAGAUAUGCAGGGAACAGUCUUCAUGGUUUGUCUUUGAUGAGCAGCUUAGGGAAGAAAUAAGAAUUUCGCUUGAGAAAAUCUUGCUUCCUGCGUAUGGAAACUUUGUUGCAAGGUUUUAGAGUGUUUCAGAGCUUGGAAAGCAUGCUGAUAAGUAUAUAUAUUGAGUACGGAACGGAGGAAAUUCAAGCAAGACUCAAUGGUUUGUUUCAGUGAAGCAGUGGAUCAACUGGUAGCCGAAAGUGAAGGUGAAGCUGCUACUAGUUGUUCUUGUGUAUUUGUAGUGUAAUUAAAUUAAAAUACAAUGUUUUGAUUAUCACAAAAUUGUAGUCUUGUAGUCGUGUACUAUAAAUACUACUGUAUGUUAUUCUUCUUAGCAUCAUUGUGGAGGAUUGAAAAAGGAUUUUAAAGUAAGAGCUAGAGUUACAAAAUUAACCUUUAUGUUGUAACAUUUGAGGUGGUUCUUAUUGGUUUGUAUUUCAUAGAAUACAUUAGAAUAUAUGAUAAGAUAUUCUAUGAAAUACAUACAAUUCUAUCAUGACUCAUGUGUUUGAAACUUAAUAAUGGCUACCAACAUUGGAUUUUCAUAUGGUGGUGUAAACUAAGCCGAUCAUUCCAAUAUUUGUUUAUCAGUUCAAUUAAAAAAAAUAAAUUACAUUUUAAUUUCUUAUAAUUUGACUUAAAAUACUUUAUUCUGUGUUACCUGAACCAUAUAGAAUUUGAUAUUUUAUCAUCUUAUGUUUUGUUUUAAUUUAUUAUCACAUUGAUAAUUUAGUACAUUUUAUCUAUUUUCUAAAGAUUAAUAUAUUUUACUCUCUCCAUUUUCAGUUCAAAAAAUAGUAUAUAUGUAAAAAGAAAAAAAAAACAAGUUGAGCCACUAAUAAUGGAGAUUAAUGUAAAAUAUAUUUGCUUUAAAUUGUUGUUUUAAGUUGAGCAAAUAUUUUUAAGAAAUACUAGUAAUUUUUUAAACAGAAACUGUAACAUAAAUGGCCUAAAUAUACUCUUUGACCAUUAGGCUUGAAAUGGUAGCAGUUACUAAGAUGCGUUUUGUUUUAUUAGUAAUAUUGGUGUUGGAAUUGAAGAAAUAAAGAUAUUUUUUAGAUGCAAGAAGGAGGAAACUGAAAACAAAGCAAGUAGUACUACUGUGGUGUGGUGUGGUGUUAUUUUGUUUCGUUGUCUGCUAAUAAUUGUAAGCAUCAGUAAUGGGCAGUGGGUGGCAGCACAUGGCCACCGUGCUCCACCAAUCACCAAUCCAACUUCGCUUUCUUAAAUCAUAUCGACAUAAGGACAAUUUCGUAAUAUUUUUAUUGUGGAAAGUGAAAACUAUGAAUCUAGAUUAUAUAACUAUAAAUAAAUGUUUUAAGAUUAAAAGUUAGUCCGUGGUUAUAUACAUGACCACUUAAUAAAGCUUCAUCAAGUGCUUUUUUUAAAAUAAAAUAAAAAUAACCAUUCAAAUAUAAUUUAAUAGUGUAGGUUCAAAAUAUUCUGCGUGAUUUCUAUUUGGAAAUGGUUGGUUGUCUUUUCUGGUAUGUGUGGCUAUACAAACAUUCUUGCUGAACUGUUUGUCAUCUUUCAUGAUUUCAAUGUACCUUGGAACUCUACUUAUUGGCAUCAUAAAAUUGUAGCAUACAUUAAUGUUUCAAGAAAGAUAGAGUCUAAUUUCAACAGUUUUUGAAUAAAUUUACACCAAUUAAUUUUGAAACAUGAAGAAUACUAAACUAAAACUGAGAGAAUAAUUAUGGGUUGAAGUUUGAACAAAUGAAAUGGGCGGCUGAGAUCAUUCACAUCAAUGCAUGUGAUAAAAGUAAAAUACAACAAACAUUAAUUGGAAGACUUAUUAAUUUGUUGGUUUAAAUUUUCAUAGUCUUAACAAAUUCCUCAUAGCUAAUUUGACCAUCACCAUCCAAAUCUGCAGUUGCAAUCAUCUCCUCCACCUCUCCAGCAGUUGUGUUUUCACCCAGUUUGAUCAGAACUUGCCUCAACUGCAUAGCACGGAAUGAUUUUAACAUAUGAGGGCAUGUGUAUGUCUUUGAGCAUAUAUGCAGUUCUUAGUUAAUACUAAUAAAUUCUAUAUGAAAAAAGGAAGUUAACACUGAUAAAUUAAAAAUGAUCAAGUGAAAACUGAAAAACAAGAUUUUCUUCCUGAUCUUAUUUUAAAAUGUCAAAACCCAAGACAUUUUUUUUAAAACCAAACAGGCAAACAACUAUUAUUCAGAGUAUGCGGAAAGGUUCAAAGUACCAUCCUGAAUGUGCAAGUGACAUUAAUGUUCCUUUUUCUUUUCUUUUUUGGCCUUUUUCUCAGUGACAUAUAUAAAUAUAUAUGUACAUGAUAUCCUAGCCUCUCACCAUACAAUUUCAUUCCAUUUUUAAUAUACAAUUAUGGAAAAGGUUGAAUUAUUAAAAAUAAUACACGGGUAAUUUUAUAUAUUUUUAUUAUUUUUUGUUUUAAAAUUAUUGAUUUUCCUAUUUUAAAUUAUUAAUAUUCUGUAAAUUUCUAGCUUUUUUUCAUUAUUCUUUAUUUAAAAUAUCUAGAUUUGAUCUUUACAAAGAAUACUACACUUCUAGCCUCUUUAAAAAGCGCUUCAACAAUAUCAUAUAUUAAAUAAGGUUACUUUAAUCUAAAUGUAUGAAUAUUAUAUACUUAUUAAAUACUUUUUAAUCUAUUUAUACUAACCUUAAACAUCAAUAAUUUUAGAAGGGCUGUAGCAAUUUAUAAAAUAAAUUUGUGUGUGUGUAAAAAAUAUUAAAAGAACAAUCAAAGGGAAGAUGCACUUUGCAACAUCUUGACACUACUUGCUUUUUGUUCAAGUUUGAAGUAACCUUACUUCGUCAGAAAUCUCAUGAAUACUUUGAUGGGCGAUUGCCGUCAGAAAAAGCAAGUUAAAAUAAAAAAAUGAAUAGAAAGAAUAAAAGUUUAUACAUAUACCUCACUUGCUGAAAUGUAGCCAUUUUGAUCCUUGUCAAACACCUUGAAAGCCUCUCUGUAUUCUUGCUCUUGAUGAGUUCCCUAACCGAGACAGAAAACAGAACUGAACUUAGUAUAUGGCUGUUCUAUAUAUAAUAGUAAUAAUGAGAAGAAUAUUAAUCUUAGCAAAAAAUGCAAUAUUAAUUCCUUACUUGCACUUUGGACUCUUGUUCAACAGGCAGAUCGGCAACAUGUACUCUAGCAGGAUUAAUCUUCUCAGAGACCGACGCAACAAUUCUCUCAAUAAACUUGUACUCAUAUUCAUCUCUGUUAUUAAUAUUUGAACAUUAAAUUGUGAGACAAGUAAAACUUAAUUAAUCCAAUAAAAAUUAAAACAUAAAAAGAUUGGUAUCAUUGGGUACCUGUAUUUGAAAUGAAAGCCAGACAAGUCAGCAACUUGACGCAGAGCCAUCUCCCAAUUCUGGAACUUUUCUGGAAAUCUUAUCUUAUGCUUAGCCAAUGCUUCUCCAUAAGUACCCUUCUGGUGUCUGACAUCAGAAGGAUACACCUUAUAAAACACUGGUAUAAUCAUCAUCCCAUUAUACUGGGCGCAGUGAACAAUGGAUGUAAGUUCAUCUAAGCAAAAUGAGGAAGAAGCAAAGUCUUCAGAGAGCACAGUGAUGGCAAUUCUGGAAUCUUUAAUUGCCUUCAAAAGUGCAGGUGUUAUUUCCUCUCCGCUGUGAAGCUUCUCUUCGUCAAAGAAGGUACGAAUUCCCUUGUCAGAAAGAGCCCUGUAGAGAUUGCUGGUGAAACCAUAGCGUGUGUCUUCCCCUCUGAAGUUGAGGAACACAUCGUAGAUGGAUGCACGGGAACUUGUUGUUGCAGCCAUUAUUAGAAGGAAAAAAGUUUAGAAUGAAACUUGAAGAAAUAUGAAAAUGAAAGUAUCCCAAAUUAAUGCUAAGUGUUAUAAAGAAGAUAACCGCCUUUGUGGAAAAUAGCUAAGAUGCUCUCACUUUUUUUCAUUUUAAAAAAAAAAGUACUUUUUUAUAAUCAAAUUGUUACAAAUAAACUAUAAAAGUAUUUUUAAUAAUUGGCAACUGGUGUACUAGUAAUUCUGCCCCACCCCCUAAAAGAAUCUUUAGAGAAUCAAAAUAUAUAUUAACUAAUAAGUGAUCUGAUAAUUUUUAAACAAGUGUUUUAUACAGAAGAUAGCCGCCUUUAUGGGAAAUAGCUGUGUUAUAAAGAAGAUAGCUGCCUUUGUUGAAAAUCUCUUGCUUUCUCUCAUUCAUUGUUAUAAAAGUCAAGUCAAGCUCUUAUAAAGGAAGAUGUUCUCACUUUUUUUUUUCAUUUUAAAAAAUACUUUUUGUAAUCAAAUUCUUGCAAAUAAACUAUAAAAGUAUUUUUAAUAAUUAACUGGUGGUACAACUAAUUAUGUAGCCCCUAUAAAAAAAUCUUUAGAGAAUCAAAAUAUAUAUUAACUAAUAAGUAAUCUGAUAAUUUUUAAUCACUAGAGCUUCAGAGUUCGUCUUUUAUAAAAAACAGAGUAAAAAUAUAAAAGAGAGAUGAAAAUAGAAAAGAGAUAGAAUCUGAGAAAAAAAAGUCAUGCGUGAAAAUGUUUUACACUAUCAAUUAAUCAUAUGAUAAAUUUGUUGAUUAUUAAACUAACUAGUUUAAAAUAUUAUCUAUUAAGUAAAAAUUUAUUAUGAAUGCACAUAGUUAUUUAAAAAAAUAUAUACUAAAAGGAUGUAGGACACUGAAUUAGGUUAGGACAAUCCAAAGCAUAACUCAGAAUCCAUUCUAAAGACUAUAUUGAGUCUAAUUUCAAAAUUCUAAUUCAUCUAAAUCAACUUUAAACCGAACUCAGAUGAUGAAACUAGUUGGAUAUUGUUCACCCUACAGUGUGAUAACUGUAAGGUUUGGAAGGAAAACAUUCUUCUCCAUUUUGACUAAAUCAGCAUCGAUUAUGCUAUUAGGAAAUGAUAAAUCAUUGAGUAUUACUAAAACUAACAGCUCUAGAUUUGUACACACAUAUAUAUGAUGUCUACCAGGCUUAAAUUACUGAGGUCAUAUUGUCAGAGAAACUGGAAUUCUACAUCUCAUAAAAUCUAAAAACAACCAGCUAUGUGUUCAUCCAAGAUAAUCCUUAUGAUGAUAAUGAAUAAGACAUUCACUUGAAGUAUAUUUGAUUCUAGAGAGGCAUAGAACAAAACACAUCUAUUUUUUAUUUACAAGCAAGCACAAAUCUAUUGAUAUGCUCAAACUCAGUGAAUUAGCAUUCCACUUUCUGAAGCUGUAAGCAGCCAAUAUAGUAGUAUGAUUAAACCUAAGAAACACUGUUACAAAUUUAAGAAGUUUAAGUCUUUCUUCUUCCUGCUCAAACUAUUUCUUCAUUGGAAGUUGAAUGCACCUGACCCUGCACCUUGCAAUAGGAAACCCCUAGAAGACCUAUUCAAAGCAAAAAGGAAUCAAUCUAAACUAAGAGGAAAAAUAAACCAUGGAAAUCUCAUCAAACAUUCUCACCAAAUCUCAUUUGCAUGGAGUCCUGCUGUAUCUGUAUAAAAAUGUUGAAUCGCAGUUCUUUCAUUCCUUCAAUCCAUUAUCGCGACUUUUAGCAAUGCAAAAAUCUUUUAGUUGAAGAGAGCAGUCACUAGUUUCCAGCAAUGGAAACCACUGCAGCAGGAGCAACUAGCAAUAGUUUGUAUGGGGAUUUUGAACCUUACAGAAGAUGGCAUACAGAGGAAGGACAACAGACUCUUGAGGAGUUUUCUGCAUUGCUCAUCAGUUUAUUGUCUCACCUCCACUAUCCAUUUUUUCAAGAUAUAAUCAUCAUCAUAUGAUCCCUACUUAGCAGCAUCUUCCUAAUCAAUUAUGUUGUUUACUAAAUUCCAGUUAAUCAGUUUCAAAUUACUACUAAAAAGAGCACAUGUUAUGACGCCAAAACGAGGUCGGUUCAAAUAAACCAUCUUACAAUAUAUGGCCGAGACAAUUUUAUAAAUAUGAGGAGUUUAACAAAGAAGGUUAUAUAAAAACUGCCUUAGAAUAUAUGGCGGUUGGCAUCGCUGUGCUUCGGCACGGCUGCGGGGUUUGAGGUCUGGCACAGUUGCUUCUUGCAAUGCUGUUAGUGUUCGUGAAGGACCCUUUCCCGCACGUGCAAGCCUAGGAACUGGAAGGGCUUGCUGGUUUCUGCGAGCCUGGCAGAGAGUCAAGUGACAUCGUUUUCCUGUUGGCAAAACCCUCGUCUCUCGCUAGUACCCUGGGAACCAAGGUUUUUUAUUUUUCUUCUCUUAUUUUAAAACCCUUUCUAUAUAGCUCCAUAACUUCAUUUUUUAUAUAUGGAGUGGUGGCUGCCGAAGGUAAGUUUUCAUCUUCUUUGAACUUCAUCAUUGCUAUUGCCUUCUAAAUUUCUGCAUUAUCAUUUUAAUUUGUGCAAAAGAAAAUGUUCACACCCUUGUUUAUUUUCUCUGGAUUGCUUCACAGAAGGAGAGCAGAGAGCACAACCAAGUGUUCAUCUUUGACUCACCAUGAAGCUCAUCAGGUUUUUCUCUCUUUGUUGAUUUAUCUGUGAAUUUUCUUCUGUUGUGUUUUUUUAAUUAGCAUCUCAUUCAGUGCAUUACAAGGUGAUGCAAGUAUAAAUCUGAUUUAGAAUCAUUCGAUAAGCAUGUGAAAGGCCUGCAUUUUGUGCUUAUGAACAGGGAAAGGAUAUUCUACUUGCUUUGUUGGAAAAUCCCAUUCUAGUAUCAGCCUCAAACUGUUUGAAGGCUAACUCAGAGAGGAAGUUCUCAGUAUCUGAUGUGUCUAGUCCAGAGAGAUCAAAAUGGGUUUAUAUAUUCCAGAGAGAAUAUGCUACCAUUGACCCCGCCCUUGUUGAUGUAAUUUCUUAACUUUUUGCAAUGUCAUUAAGCUAAUAUGUAUUACUUCAAAUGUAAUCAUUUCCCUUUGACUUCAGUGAUGAUGUGUAAGAGAUAAUUUUUGUAAAAUUGUAAAUUUAAUUUUAAACUAGUUCAUAGUUCAUUAUUGUAUGCAACUAUUAAUCUUGUGCAUGCAGACAAUUCAUACUUAAUUGGACUAAGUCACAUCAUAUGUGGAAUUUCUUUUUCCGGUCCAUUUUUUCAAAUGUUCCUUCUACUAGGUGUUCAAAUAUUGGUUUUAUUAUUUUUAAUUUAACACUGCAGGAUAUCAGUUGCCGCAGAGAUACUGAUGCAAUUUUCCUUUCAGGGGACUUCUAGAAUACAUAUACAUUGGAAGGGAGCCGCAAAGAUAGUUCUAGGAGCAUGUACUCAAUAUCUUGAUUCAUAUGGUCAAUUGCUAUCCAUUGAAGAAGAGAAAAAGGUUAGGGAUGGCAGUUUCAAGUCCAGAGAGCUUGCUGAUGGAAUGAAAUUCAUUUAAUUGAACAUUGGAGAUGUUAUUUUAUUUUUCUUUUGGUUUAGAACAAUCAGAAAUUAAGGAAAAAUACAUGGAACAAGGUUUCCAACAAAUUUCUUUUUUCUUAUCAAUGUGAUUAUAGUGUCAUUUGAAGUUACUCUGAUAGAGAACCAAAUCAAGAAAUGGGGAAAAAAUCAAAGCACAUUGUUCCUUUAUUGGAAGCCUAACUCUCACCUUGCAAUGCUAGAAUUGGAACAAGCAACUCCCCAGAAGACCCAUUUAAACAAAAAAGGAAUUAUUCUCAACCAAGAGGAAAAUUAAACCAUGAAAAUCCCAUUACGGUUUCUCACCAGAAUCUCAUUUGCAUGCAGUACGAUAUUUGUAUGAAAAAUGUUUAGUCACAAUUCUUUCAUUCAUUCAAUCCAUUAUCAUAACUUUUUGCAAUACAAAUAUUUCUAGUUUAGCCGUUUAAGAGGGCAUUCACCAGUUUCCUGCAAUGGAAAAUGAUGCUGGAGCAACUAGCAAUAGUUUGUAGGGGAUUUUGAACCUUACCGCAAAUGGCUUACAAAGGAAGGACAACAGACUCUUGAAGAGUUUUCUGACUUUGCCUUCUCUGUUUCUUAGCAUUUUCACCUCAACAUUUAUUUUUAGAUAGUGGUGUCUGUUGGACUUUGACUUGUUUAUUUCUUAGGCUGCUUCCUAUCCUUAUUAAUGGCACGUUUUUAAUCUCCAUUCAUAAAUUUAAAAACAACAAGCUAUCAGCCAUCCUAAGACAAUCCUUAUCAAGAAAAUGAAGAAGACAUUAUCUAGCUUAAAUUACACUAGUUAUUCCUUAGAUUUGGUGAAAUUUUCACAACCUUUUCAUACUUUUUUUACCCCUACACUAACCCCUCAAUUAUUUCAAAAAUAUUAUUCCAGUACCUCUUAUACAUUAUACUAACCUUCCUUAAUUGUUUGAAGAACAUUACACUGUGUUCACUUAUAAAGAAGGUAGUUGUAAAUGUUAAAAAAAAUAAUACUUAAUAAUUUAGAGAGGCAUAUAGAAGUAGAAGUAAACACAAAUCUAUUUAUAUGCCCAACUCAAACUCAAUAAGAAUCCUAAGUAGACAUUCUUCUUACAAGUAUAAAAAAUUUAACUUUCUCAACUGCUAUGAACAGUUGAUAUAGAUCAUAUAGUAGUAUGCUAGCUAAAUCCUAAGAAGUACACUUUCAAAAUUUAACUAAUUGAAGUUUUUCUCCUUCCUGAUCAAAUUAUUUAGCAUAACCAGCGGGAAUCUGAUCAUCGUAGCAAUUAGAAGAGAAAAAGUUAAACAUCCAAAAACAAAUGUAUAUACAUACAAAAAUAAAUAUAAAAAUAAAUUACAAAUAUAUUAUUAUAUUGUUUUAUAGUAGAACUUGUAAGGGAAAAUCUAAAAGUAAACAAAAAGUAUAUUAAAGAUUUCUUUUUACUUUAUUUUAAUUACAAUGUAUAUAUAAGAUAAAUACCUGUUGGUUUAUGUAAUUUUGAAGUGUAACUAUAAAAAUAUAUACAAAGAUAAAACUUGAAAGGUUAUAUAUAGAAAAUGCAUAAAGUAGUGAAAGAUGAAUAUAAAUGAGUCAAAAGUACAUGAUGAAGAUAGGGUGAAGAGCAGUUGGGUUAAGUCAAUUUUUUUCAACUGAAACCAAAAUAAUAAAAUAAAAAACAAAAAAAAAUAAGAAAAAAGCUAUGGAAAACUUGCGUGUUCCCAAAGCUAUGGUUUGUAGUAAGGAGCGGCUUUCUGAUGCAGAGCUGCUGAGAUAUGGAUCAUCAAAUCGAAUAUCUUCCUCCAUACUGCCUUCUUCUCUGAAUAUAUGGAUUCCAGUUGCUUUAAUGAGUGAGCUCUCUAAGUCUAACACACCUUCUUUUCUUUUUUGCUUUUCAUAGUCUAACACACUUUGAUAUCUAACCUCCACAUGGUUCCAUUCCUUUUCCCUAGCCACUUCUAAAGCAAACAGAGAUCUAGAGGGACGAAAGAUAUGUGUAUGAUCCAAUUUCAACAUACUGUAACUUUCAUAAUCGAGCAGAUAGUUUAGAAUUUUUCCAUCGAUGAACACCUUGGGUAUAACGAAAGUUUGCAGGUCAUCCGACACAGGUGCAAUAAGAAGACAAAGAAGUUUGGAAGGGAAUUUAUUACGAAACCAGAAAGAACUUGAAUGUCCACUGCUUUGCUGAUCCAACCACUCUGGUAUUCUUGUUCCUGGAAACACAAACUCGGUUCCUCCAGCCUCAUACAGUUCCUGUUAGUCAUAAUUCAUACAGAAUUCAUAAGUUUAACAACAUUAAGUGCACUAUACAUCAUCAAAUCCUGUACAGUAACAAAAAAGACAAUACCUGAUUUAAAAACAUGCUUUUACUCGAGGAAGUCAAGGAUGCACAGUUUCUUGCAUGGAAAUAACAUAAGUUUGGUGGAAGCCCUCUAAUUUCCUGAAGAUGCUCGCAAUCACUCACCAUAAGUGCUCUUAAAAAUUUCAAUUCUUUGAAGAAUUCAGGAAGGAUUGUGAAAUUAUUCCCCGAUAGAUCUAAAUAUCCUACACGAGCAAACCUCUUGGAACCUGUUAAAAAAAAUCAUCACAGAGAUUGCAAUUCAUGGCAGAAAACGAAAGUUUCAUUGAAGACGGUAUUGAGCCCACUUUUUCUUCACCUCCUUCCGAUUCUACCCAUUGCCACCUGUUACAAUUUUUAAUUUGGAAUCGAAACAGAUUGGGCAUCAUGGCUAAGCUACAUCGUAACUGAACAAUUCCACAGCUCCACAGGGAUAACAGUUGGAGUCCAAUAAGAUUUUGAAAUGAAAAUGGCAAUUCUUUUAUGGGAAGGCCAUCCAAUUCAAGGCUCUUUAUGUUUUCCAUCUCUCCUAAUAUUUCUGGAAAAUAAUCAAGACUGGAACAGUGAGAAAGUUCAAGUGUUUCAAGAGAGGUCAAGUUGAGAGGCGGAAAACUCGUAAGCUUCCUGCAACCAUAAGCACUCAACUUUUUUAAGUUUUUUCAGAAAACCAAUGGAGUCAUCAACUGCAACUAAACUCUCACACCCUUCAAAUGAAAGUUCCCUCAAAUUUGCGAGAUCAGAUACAUCAGGUAUCUUUGUUAAAAAUUCGCACUGGUCAAAAUUUAAAACUGUUAGAUGUCCCAACUUCUGCAAGGAAAAAAAAAAGAAAUAAGAAACAAAUGAAUAAAUUUAAUUCACAGAAUGAGAAAAAUAUAAUCUUUAAACUUGCCUUCGAUGGGCCAUGGAACUCAAAUGACUUAAUGGAACUGUUAGGUAACUUGCAUAUAACAAGGUUCAUCGGAUCAAAGUUCGAUGGUAAACAAUUUGAAGGAUAUCUGUGCCAUUCCAGUACUCUCAAACCUUCUGGAAAAUAACUGGGACCUUUGGAAAAUUUGCCAUUUCUAAUAAUAAGUAUUUUAAGGUUUUCCAUCUUCAUGAAGGCGUUUUCAUUCCAUUCCACUGUUUCUUCUUUGUCAGAUAUUGAGAAAUCCACACAUAUGAUUUCAAUUUUACUAGUUCCCUGUUAAUGCAAAAAGGCAUGAAUCAACCACAAUACAACUUGUGUGAAAUAUCAAUUGACUCGCUUAGAAAAAUUUACAAAUUAUCAAGAAAAAGUUAACUAUGAUGUAAAUAUGAGAUAGACAAAAAAAUUCAACUAUUCAUGAGCUCACUCACCGUGUUGUGUUUUAAAACUUGAAUUAUAUCUUUUGGUGACAAUAAUCUCUUGCACUUCCCGGGCUCUUCUGGUGAUCUCUGCCGCUCAAUUUCUCUACCCAUGUCCUGAAUCAGGUCGUGCAUUUCCACAGUAUCACACCAGCUACGCUUUAUGAGAGAUUUUUCAACCAACACCCCAAUAUGAUGCUUCUUGCAGUUACCAUAAAGAGCACGGAGUAUAUCAUCAACCUCUGUCCAUUUAUACCCUUUGAAGCAACACGCAAUGUCAAGAAAAACAUUCUUUUGUUCUUCCUCCAAAGCAUCAAAGCUUACAUUUAGAAUCUUUAGGAUUUCAUGACUGGGAAUUCUUUUAUAAUAUUCCACAGCAGAUUCCCAUUCUGCUACUGUUUUAUCAAACAAGUUAGAACCUAUGAUUUCCAACGCCAAUGGAAGGCCAGAAGCAUAAGCUACUACACCAUUCAAGACCUCCUCAUAACUUGGAUGAAUUUUCUCUCUUUUAAAAGCUUUCCAUGUAAGCAAUUGAAGUGCAUCAUUCUGAUUCAAAACCUUCACCUCAUAAGUUCUUUCAACCUCAUGAUAUUUUAGCAGAUGUUUGUCCCGAGUGGUAAUGAUGACUCUGCUACCCGGACCAAACCAAUCAGGUCUUUCAACAAUAGCCUUCCUUUAAUUGCUCGUGUUUGUCAACAUCGUCUAAAAUCAAGAGAACCUUCUUUCUCUGGAGCCUAUGUUGUAUCGUUGAAGCUCCUUCUUGCCAACUUGUUAAGGUGAUGUCCUUCUCACCAAGUAAUUUUGAAGGAAGGAUGCUUUGAAGGUGUUUUAACCCAUGUUUAUUUGAUUCUUCUCUCACGUUUUGAAGAAAACAGGAUUCAUCAAAAUGGAGAGCAAUCAAAUUAUAAACUUCCAGAGCAAGUGUUGUUUUUCCUAACCCGCCCAUUCCAUGGAUCCCUAUGAUUUGGACAAGAUCAUCGGAUCCAACAUCCAAAAGCUUCAUUACCUCUGUCACUUGUGAUUCUAGACCAACUGGAUAAUCCGCAAUAUGUAAAGAAGUACGAUUAAUCUUCCUAGAGACCUCCUCAACAAUACUCCCAAUAAACUUGUAUUCAUAUGCAUCUCUGUUUCAAACAAACAAAAAAAGUUCUGAUGAAGUCAGCCUAAAAUCCUUGCAUCCAUGUCUCGAUAUGUACAAUAAUUGUCAAGGUUAACAAGAACAUUUCUUUUCUAUUUGAAUUUUACUAGUUAAAUCAAUAGACAAGUAAAACCUAAUCCAAUAAAAACCAUAAAGUAAAAUAUAUUAGUAUGGUUUUAUACCCAUCUUCGAAAUGAUAGCCAGACAAGUCAGCUACUUGUUUCAAAGCCAUCCUCCAUUUCUGCAGCUUCUCCUUCUUAGCUUUGAACCUCUUCUGAUGCUUAGCCAUUGCUUCUCCAUAACUACCUUUCUGGUGUCUGACAUCAGAAGGAUCUACCUUAUAAAAGACCGGUAUAACCAACAGCCCUUCACUCUUGCAGUGGAGGAUGGUUACAAGUUCAUCUAAACAAAACGAGGAAGAAGCAUAGUUUUGAGAAAGCACAGUAAUAGCAAUCCUGGACUCUUGAAUUGCCUUGGAAAGUGCAGGUGUUAUUUCGUCUCCUCUGGGAAGCUCCUGAUCAUCAAUGGAAGUGUAGAUUCCCCUGUCAUCAAGAGCUUUGUAGAGAUUGCCAGUGAAACCAUGGCGUGUGUCUAAACCUCUGAAGCUGAGGAACACAUCAUAGAUGGAUGCAAGGGAACGUGUUUUUGCAGCCAUUAUUAGAAGAAAAAAGUUUAGUAUGAUAAUGGUUGAUAUGGUGGGAGUGUAGAAUCAAACUUGAACAAAUAUGAAAAAGAUAGCAUACAAAAUGUUUAUUAUUACGCAGAGUAACACGACAUAUGGUAACAAUGACAUCCUACCAAAGGAGAUAGCCUUGUGGAAAAUGUCUCGCUUUUUAUUUUUGUUUUCUCUCUGUCUGUCAAAUAAGUCAAAAUCGUACUAAAUAUUAAUUUCUCCCCGUCCCCCAUUAAAAUUGUCAGACAUAAAAAAUUAGCAAAUUUCACAAAUUCUGUGAGCUGAGAUUAAUGUGCAAGAACACAUUCUUUCAACUCCAAGUUGAAGGCAAUUUUGUGAACUUUAGCUCUCAAGAAGGGAACCGAUUCAAAAUUAUGAUUCAUUUAACUUUCCAUAGGAUGAGAAUUAGGCGUUUGUUCCAAAGGACGUUUAGAUAAAUAAAACUAAGCUGGUGGAAAUUAAUUUAAAACUGAAUUACAAUGUUAGUUUUCAAACAAUAUUUUCAGAAUUCAAUUUUUACGUACUAUUAUCAUAAAAAAAUAUCCUACCAAUUCAUAAAAAAUAAAGGUAGACGAGACCUGUGAAGUAGUUAUUAUUUCAAUAAUUAAUUAUAUACAUAGUUAAUUAUUAUUAUUAUUAUUAUUAUUAUUAUUAAUUAUAGAAAUUAUUUUUAUAUUAAAAUAUGUUGAAAAAUACUACUUUAAUCUAUUUUAUUUAAAUAGUUUAAAAAAAACUUUUUGCAUUGAAAAUUUUACUAUAAGUAUAAAGUUAUUGAUUCCUAAUAACAAAAAAGGUUAUUAAUUCCAUAAAAAAAGCAUAAAGUUAUUAAUCAACUGCUGGUACAUCCUUCCCAAGAAAAAUUAGAAAUUUUUAAUCAUAAGUAUGAAUUUUUUUAAUUAAUUUGAUUUUUUUAAUUAUAAACUUCAAAGGUUUCUUGCAUUAGAAUUGCGUUUGACUCAUUUUUGUAUUUUAAAGAUUGCCUUAAAAUUUAAAUUUAGAAAUAAGAGGUUUAAAUAUAACUAAAAAAUUUAAUAUUUUUUUAAAAUUUUCAUUAACUUAAAAUAGAUCAUCUAAAAUGAAGAAAUUAAGGAAAUUUGGUGGAUAUUGCGAAUAGAACCUUGGUGGAUGUUACACGGACAUAUAUAUAUCGUACGAAUCACGAUAAUAUUACGCGGACAUACCGUUCAAACUUGUGGAAAAUAUGUCUGUGUUUUUUAGAAUGCUACCGACACAUUAACAACCUAAGCAGCACAUUAACAAAAUUUAACUAAUUCUAGUUCCCAACCUCAUUUUUGGCUUAUUAAUCCUUCAAAAAGAUAGAAGUUCACAACUCACAGGAUUAUUGGAACAAAAUUUUGUAAAAUGAAAUCUCAAAUUCUUAAGUUGUAGUUAAAAGGAUCGAUCAAAAGUAUGCUAAGAAAAGAAAAAAGAAUAUAGGAUGGGGAAGGAAUUUAAAACACAGGUUUCCUUCAUUUACAGUUUACACAUGCACCUCAUUCUCACCAUGCAAUACAAUGAUAAGGAAUUAAGGAAGUUUCGUGGAUAUUGCCAAUAGAACCUUGGUGGAUGACUACGAAAAGAAUUCCAUUAAGAAUAAAGAAAUUAAGGAAGUUUCGUGGGUAUUGCCAAUAGAACCUUGCCAAUAGAAAUUAAGGAAAUUAACCCGAAAUGAUUGCAAAUAGCUUACAAAGGAUGGACAAGCGACUCUUGAGAUUAAGUCAAUUUAUUAUCGGAAGAUUCCAAAACAAAAAGAUUGUAUGUAGUGGACAAUAUCAUCGUGCUAGUUUUUAAUUUAAUAUUAAAUUUAAAUUUUAAGAUAAAAUUAGAAUUUAAUCUAAGAAUAAUGAGUUUAUUAUACUAAUUAUUAUUAAAUCAUCUACAAAUGUUCAUUUAUUGGUGUAAGGGGACAUAAUGGUCCCAUAUAUAUCACCUAACAAUUUCUCCAAAUGUCACACCUUUAUUUUUAAGGACACAGAACCUAAUAAUAUCGUAAUUAAUCGCUCCAAACUUGAUAAGUAAUAAGAGAAAAUAUUCCUUACAUCAAUUAAAAAUGGAAAGAAAAUCAUAAUAUAAAUUAAGAUGAAAUUUAUUCUAAUGGUAUACAUAUGGUAAUCUUUUCUGAUCUUAAACUCUUACAGGUUUCAAAAAGGAGCAGCUUAAGAUUCAAACUUACAACUGGGAGAUCCUAACAAUUUAGGGAGAAAGGCCUAUGCAUUAAUAACUGUUAAAUAAAUGUGCUUUUCAUAAUGAAAAAUAAAGUGAAUUAUUUAGCAGUUAUUCAUGCUUAAUUAUUAGAAAGUGAUGUUUUUUUUUUUUAAAUUAUGAUCUGCAAAUACAAAAACGGGAAGAAUUAAAAGCAAAAAGAUACACAAAUUACGAAGACGAGUUGAGGAUUUAAAAAACUGAAAAGUGCAGGUGCUAUUUUGUCUCCUCUCGGAAGCUCCUCAUCAUCAAUGAAAGUGUAGAUUCCCCUGUCAUCAAGAGCUUUGUAGACAUAGCCAGUAAAAUCUUGACGGGUGUCUUUCCCUUUGAAGCUGAGGAACACAUCGUAGAUGGAUGCACAGGAACGUGUUGUUGCAGCCAUUGUUAGAAGAAAAAAGUUUUGUAUGAUAAUGGUUGAUACGUUGGGAGUGUAGAAUCAAACUUGAACAAAUAUGAAAAAGAUAGUAUACCAAAUGCUAAGUGGGGUGUAACGAAUGGAAUGUCACGUGGGGAGAAGGUUAACAAUACUGCUGAGUCAUCAAGUGAGAGAGGAUUGCAUAACAAACUUGCUGAUUUUGAGGAAUUGGGACGUGGGAAGAGAGAGAAGAAACCAAGUUGGAAAAUAACGGAAUCCCACUAGUGUAUAAGGGAAAGUAGUGGGAGUGUGAUAGGCAUGAUGUAUGAUGAAUGAAAAUUCUCUUCCUCUCUGAUUAUUCUCUCUUCCAUUCUGAAUUUCUUUUGCAUCUUGUACUUUUGCUCUUAUUUUCACACUGAAAACUAAGAGUUGUAUCCAUCAAUAAAAGUACUUCGUCCCUUUCCAAUUGAAUUACUGUUUCAUUAAUUACUUAGCAUUACAUUGGUGCUUUCAUCUCACCAUGGCAGACAACACCCGUAUGAAGGAGGUUUAUGCAGAAUUGAAGAAAAACGCUGAUGCGAUUACUCGUGUUAGUGACGAUCUUCAGAACCAUAUUGAACGGUUGGAAGCUACAAAUCACGCUCAGAUGGAGAAGAUUGAAGUGAUGCAGUCGACGAAUGAUUCUCAAUUCUCACAACUGAAUGCAGUAAUGUCACAGGUGCUGCAGCGUCUACAAAACAUUCCGAUGUCUUCCCAUGGUGCAUCGAACUCACAGAAAGAGCAGCAGAGAAGUUCGUUUCAGGUGAGAUCUGUCAAACUUGAUUUUCCUCGCUUUGAUGGAAAAAAUGUGAUGGAUUGGAUAUUCAAGGCUGAACAAUUUUUCGAUUACUAUGCAACACCAGAUGCUGAUAGAUUGAUUAUUGCUUCAGUACAUUUAGAUCAGGAUGUUGUCCCUUGGUAUCAAAUGCUUCAAAAAACUGAACCAUUCAGUUCAUGGCAAGCAUUUACUAGAGCCUUAGAACUUGAUUUUGGACCAUCUGCUUAUGACUGUCCUCGUGCUACUUUGUUUAAACUGAAUCAAUCUGCAACUGUGAAUGAAUAUUAUAUGCAAUUCACUGCUCUAGUAAAUAGAGUAGAUGGAUUAAGUGCAGAGGCAAUUUUGGAUUGCUUUGUUAGUGGGUUGCAGGAAGAAAUCAGCAGGGAUGUGAAAGCAAUGGAACCCCGUACCUUAACCAAGGCAGUUGCAUUGGCCAAAUUAUUUGAAGAAAAAUACACUUCACCACCUAAAACAAAAACAUUCUCAAACCUAGCCAGAAAUUUUACCUCAAACACUUCAGCCACACAGAAAUAUCCACCAACUAACCAAAAAAAUGACAAUCCAAAACCAAAUUUACCACCACUUCUACCUACACCAUCAACCAAACCAUUCAACCUUCGAAACCAAAACAUCAAAAAAAUUUCCCCUGCUGAGAUUCAAUUGAGAAGAGAAAAGAAUCUGUGUUACUUUUGUGAUGAAAAAUUUUCCCCUGCACACAAGUGUCCUAAUAGACAAGUUAUGCUGUUACAACUGGAGGAAACAGAUGAGGAUCAAACUGAUGAACAGGUAAUGGUGACUGAAGAAGCUAACAUGGAUGAUGAUACUCAUCAUUUGUCCUUAAAUGCUAUGAGAGGAUCAAAUGGUGUGGGCACUAUUCGAUUUACUGGCCAAGUGGGAGGCAUAGCAGUUAAGAUAUUGGUGGAUGGAGGUAGCUCUGACAACUUCAUUCAGCCUAGAGUGGCUCAGGUGCUUAAGUUACCAGUGGAACCAGCUCCUAAUCUUCGAGUUUUAGUGGGAAAUGGACAGAUUCUGAGUGCAGAAGGAAUUGUUCAGCAAUUACCAUUACAUAUUCAAGGCCAAGAAGUGAAAGUGCCAGUGUACUUGUUACAAAUUUCUGGUGCAGAUGUGAUAUUGGGGUCCACAUGGUUAGCAACAUUAGGUCCUCAUGUAGCUGACUAUGCAGCAUUGACCUUGAAAUUCUUCCAAAAUGAUAAAUUCAUUACUUUACAAGGUGAAGGUAAUUCAGAAGCAACACAGGCUCAGCUCCAUCAUUUCAGAAGAUUGCAAAACACAAAGUCAAUUGAAGAGUGCUUUGCAAUACAAUUGAUUCAGAAGGAAGUACCAGAAGACACUUUGAAGGAUUUACCAACAAAUAUUGAUCCUGAAUUGGCCAUCUUACUCCACACUUAUGCUCAAGUGUUUGCAGUACCAGCAUCACUGCCACCUCAGAGGGAACAGGAUCAUGCUAUACCACUGAAACAAGGGUCAGGCCCCGUUAAAGUAAGACCAUACAGAUAUCCUCACACACAAAAGGAUCAGAUUGAAAAGAUGAUACAAGAAAUGUUGGUUCAAGGCAUCAUUCAACCAAGUAACAGUCCAUUUUCCUUACCCAUACUGCUUGUUAAGAAGAAAGAUGGAAGUUGGAGAUUCUGCACAGAUUAUAGAGCUUUGAAUGCAAUCACUGUGAAGGAUAGCUUUCCAAUGCCAACAGUGGAUGAACUGCUAGAUGAACUACAUGGAGCUCAAUAUUUUUCAAAACUGGAUUUGAGGUCAGGAUACCAUCAAAUUCUGGUACAGCCUGAGGAUAGAGAGAAAACUGCUUUUAGAACACAUCAUGGCCAUUAUGAAUGGUUAGUGAUGCCAUUUGGUCUUACUAAUGCACCAGCCACAUUCCAAUGCUUAAUGAACAAAAUAUUUCAGUUUGCUCUCAGAAAAUUUGUUCUUGUGUUUUUUGAUGACAUCUUGAUAUAUAGUGCUUCUUGGAAGGAUCAUCUCAAGCACUUGGAAUCUGUGCUACAGACCUUGAAGCAACAUCAGUUAUUUGCUAGAUUGUCCAAAUGUUCAUUUGGAGAUACAGAAGUUGAUUACUUGGGCCACAAGGUAUCUGGGUUAGGAGUUUCCAUGGAGAAUACAAAGGUACAAGCAGUAUUAGAUUGGCCUACUCCAAAUAAUGUCAAGCAGUUAAGGGGAUUUCUAGGCUUAACAGGCUAUUAUAGAAGAUUUAUUAAAUCUUAUGCCAAUAUUGCUGGACCAUUAACUGAUCUUUUACAAAAAGACAGUUUCUUAUGGAAUAAUGAAGCAGAAGCAGCAUUUGUCAAGCUCAAAAAAGCCAUGACGGAGGCUCCAGUAUUAUCACUACCAGAUUUUUCUCAACCAUUUAUUCUGGAAACUGACGCAUCAGGUAUUGGUGUGGGAGCAGUGUUGGGACAGAAUGGCCACCCAAUUGCUUAUUUUUCAAAAAAAUUGGCACCUAGAAUGCAGAAACAAUCAGCUUAUACCAGGGAGUUGCUAGCUAUUACUGAGGCUCUAUCCAAAUUCAGACACUACUUAUUAGGCAACAAAUUCAUUAUCAGGACUGAUCAAAGAAGUUUGAAAAGUUUGAUGGAUCAGUCUUUACAAACCCCUGAACAACAAGCUUGGUUACACAAAUUCUUAGGGUAUGAUUUCAAGAUUGAAUAUAAGCCUGGGAAAGAUAAUCAAGCAGCUGAUGCUUUAUCAAGAAUGUUUAUGCUAGCAUGGUCAGAACCUCAUUCUAUCUUCUUGGAAGAAUUGAGAGCUAGACUAAUUAGUGAUCCUCAUUUGAAACAGUUGAUGGAGACAUACAAGCAAGGUGCUGAUGCAAGUCAUUAUACAGUUAGGGAAGGCUUACUGUAUUGGAAAGAUAGAGUAGUAAUACCUGCUGAGGAAGAGAUUGUGAACAAAAUACUCCAAGAAUAUCAUAGCUCACCUAUUGGAGGGCAUGCAGGUAUAACUAGAACUCUGGCAAGGCUGAAAGCUCAAUUCUACUGGCCUAAGAUGCAGGAAGAUGUCAAAGCUUAUAUACAGAAAUGCUUGAUUUGUCAACAAGCUAAAUCAAACAAUACACUGCCAGCAGGACUACUCCAACCUUUACCUAUUCCUCAACAAGUUUGGGAAGAUGUAGCCAUGGAUUUCAUCACAGGUUUACCAAAUUCCUUUGGAUUAUCUGUCAUAAUGGUAGUCAUUGAUAGACUCACCAAAUAUGCUCAUUUCAUUCCAUUAAAAGCUGAUUAUAACAGUAAGGUGGUAGCAGAGGCAUUUAUGAGUCACAUAGUCAAAUUACAUGGGAUACCAAGAUCUAUAGUGUCUGAUCGAGAUAGGGUUUUUACCAGUACUUUUUGGCAACAUUUAUUCAAGUUACAAGGUACUACAUUGGCCAUGUCAUCAGCUUAUCAUCCACAGUCAGAUGGACAAUCUGAGGUGCUGAAUAAAUGUUUGGAGAUGUAUCUUAGAUGCUUCACGUAUGAACAUCCUAAAGGUUGGGUAAAGGCAUUACCAUGGGCAGAGUUUUGGUAUAACACUGCAUAUCAUAUGAGCUUAGGCAUGACUCCAUUCAGAGCCUUGUAUGGGAGAGAGCCUCCUACACUGACCAGGCAAGCCUGUUCUAUAGAUGAUCCUGCUGAAGUGAGGGAACAAUUAACUGACAGAGAUGCAUUGUUAGCUAAGCUUAAAAUUAAUUUGACAAGAGCACAACAGGUCAUGAAGAGACAAGCAGACAAGAAGAGGUUGGAUGUGUCAUUCCAAAUAGGAGAUGAGGUACUGGUGAAACUGCAGCCUUAUAGACAGCAUUCUGCUGUCCUGAGAAAGAAUCAAAAGCUGUCCAUGAGAUACUUUGGACCAUUUAAGGUGCUGGCCAAGAUUGGUGAUGUUGCUUAUAAGUUGGAGUUGCCUUCUGCUGCACGAAUUCAUCCUGUUUUUCAUGUGUCCCAGCUGAAGCCAUUCAAUGGGACUGCUCAAGAUCCUUACCUGCCAUUGCCUUUGACAGUCACAGAAAUGGGACCAGUUAUGCAGCCUGUGAAAAUACUAGCAAGUCGAAUUAUCAUCAGAGGGCACAAUCAGAUUGAGCAGAUACUAGUGCAGUGGGAGAAUGGCUUGCAAGAUGAAGCUACUUGGGAGGAUAUUGAAGAUAUCAAGGCAAGCUAUCCUACCUUCAACCUUGAGGACAAGGUUGUUUUUAAAGGGGAAGGCAAUGUAACGAAUGGAAUGUCACGUGGGGAGAAGGUUAACAAUACUGCUGAGUCAUCAAGUGAGAGAGGAUUGCAUAACAAACUUGCUGAUUUUGAGGAAUUGGGACGUGGGAAGAGAGAGAAGAAACCAAGUUGGAAAAUAACGGAAUCCCACUAGUGUAUAAGGGAAAGUAGUGGGAGUGUGAUAGGCAUGAUGUAUGAUGAAUGAAAAUUCUCUUCCUCUCUGAUUAUUCUCUCUUCCAUUCUGAAUUUCUUUUGCAUCUUGUACUUUUGCUCUUAUUUUCACACUGAAAACUAAGAGUUGUAUCCAUCAAUAAAAGUACUUCGUCCCUUUCCAAUUGAAUUACUGUUUCAUUAAUUACUUAGCAUUACAUGGGGCUCCAAGCAUUAUUUCACGCGCUCAUGUAAAUGUUUAUUAUUACACGAAGUAACAGUGAAAUAUGGUGCCAAACAGUUAUAACUACUAAGGCGGACACAUGGUACCAAAGACACGUUCUAGCGUGCGCAACCCAAACUUGUUUUGCAUUGCACAGUGCGAAACUUAAUUUUUCCCCCUCUAUUCCAGUUUUGCCCCUUUUUAUAUUUUUUAUCAUUCCUUACUUUUCUCUGUUUUGCCGAGGAGAGUGUCACUGCAAGCAUAACUGGUACGACGGAGCCAUCAGAACCACCAUAUAGCAUUUUGUCUUUUUCUCUUCCUUCCUCCCCGCUCUUUCUCCUUUCCUUCUCUUUCUUACCUUCUCCGUUGAUGAUGGAUUUCAGAUCUUCAAUUGCUUCUUGCACCACCAUCAACCACGACUUUCGCAUCUACAGUUGUGGCCUUUUCUCUUCUGCAAGAGAUUUUCCAAUGCGAUUUCAACCCAAUACACUGAUUUGUAAUCUGUUCUCGAUUCUAUGUUUAGAUUUAUGUGGAGGUGGUAGUGUAUGGUGGCACUGUAACUGAUAGACUUGGGCAAGUCUACUGGUUUCGAGGACCAGCUCCUCCAGUAAAGAGAAGAAAAGAAGAGGUAAGGCACAAAUGUAAAGCUGAAUAAUUCUCAUUGAUCUUGCUUGUUAUUGAGUACAUGGUAUUUAUAAUGGAUGAAAAUAACUAAAUUGAGCUACUGUGGGCCCCCUAAGGAAUUUUAUCCUAACAAAAUUGGUGCACUGCUCCCCCUAAGGUCAACAGCUCCAAUCCUUCAAGCAAGAUUCACGAAGCAUUCCUUGGCUGGCUCUGAUUCUUCUAAACGUAAUCACCAAGGUAAUUGGGCUUAGUAAUUUUCCUCUUGGUUCCCUUGGGCUGAUCUGCUAUGGUUCCUGCUAUGCUUACCCCUGCUUCCAUGUUCGCCUCUUGGUUCUCUAUUGCUGUUUCUUCUUCCUUUUCUACCCCUGCCUCUGCAGAGUCACCUUGUCCUCAAGGUGAAAUUCCUGACAGAGUUGGGACCAAUCCUCCCAUGAUGUCUCGUCAGGAGAUAACCCGCUCCACUGCACCAACACCUCCCAGGGAGCAUUCGAAGUAGAAUCCUUUCUACAAGAGUUCAAGAUGGCCAUGGGUGAGAUUAGUGGUUGGUCGCCAUCAAAGUUGUCCGGCAAUUCAAUUGCUUCCACGUCAUCCGGUGGUCCCUUAAACUGCUUCAAGGAAGAAAUAUGAAAUACAGGAUGAAUGCGCAUCCCUUCCGGAAAUUGCAACCGAUAUGCUACUGGUUCGAUCCUCUCUAGUAUCUGAAAUGGACCAUAAAAGCGUUUGGAUAGUUUGCCGGGGUACGCUGAGCUCCCUUGGCCGAUGUCUGCCGGUGUGGUCAGAAUUUGACCAGGGCCCACUCACCACAAUUGAAAGUCACCUCUCUGCGUUUCUUGCCAUUGUACCUCUUCAUUCGCUCUUGUGCUUUCAAAAGUUUCUUUCAAAUUGCUUGAAUGGUGGCAUCUCGUUCGACCAAGCUGGAAUCAACAGCAUCGAGCUUGGAAGAGCCUGUAAUAUACUUCGGGAAAGUAAACGGUUUCCGGCCAAAGGUUAUCUCAAAUGGAGUAGACCCUGAACUAGCAUUCCAAGAAGAAUUGUGCGAACAUUCUACCCACGGCAGAAGCUUGCCCCACCGACCCGGCCGACGAUGAACAAAGGCCCUCAGGUAUUGCUCAACCACUCGAUUCAAGACCUCCGUCUGGCCAUCACUCUUAGGGUGAUACGCCGAGCUAAGCCGCAAUUGGGUGCCACUGGCGCGAAACAGGGCCUGCCAAAAAUGGCUAACAAAUAGUGAGUCUCUGUCGGAGACAAGGUUGCGUAACAAAUUCAGUUAUCUUAUUGCAAAACUUUCCUGGUGUCUAAUUCACAAUUCCCUUAAUCUUGAGUUGUGACAGUUAUUUAAUUAAGACUCUUGCAUUUAGAUGUGCAUGUAUAAUGUAUUGAUAAUGAUGGCAAAUGUGAAAGGCUUCUCAUACUGAAUUGCCUUUUAGAAUCUUUUGUGCGAGGGUGGUUUCACCCUAAUAAGAUGAGUUUUAUGGGAUAGGGGUGAUGGUAGUCAAUUUUGGCCUUUUUGUCUUGGAUGCUUUUGAUGAGUUUCCACAAUUUCAUGCAUUGUUUUCAAACUCAGAGUGUUAACUCCUAAAAGCAUCUGAGUUUAAGAGCUUACCUCUCCAAAUUGCGCUCGCUAGUUUCUGUAACCGUUUCUUGGUGGGAUUGGGUCAUGCGGCGGGGAUCAUUCGAAAUCAGUCUAAAUCGUGAACUUGUGGCUGGAUUCACAGCAAAAGAAUGUUGAUUUGUGGCUGGACCCGAACAAUUAGGUCUCAGCUCUCAUGUUUUCUCUCACGUGAUUAGGGCUCAACUUUCUCACAAAACAGAGUCCACCUUCGGCUGUGUUGAAGUUGCUCCUCCCUCACUUUUUCUCUCACAUGUCUCUUCUCCUGUGUUGAAUUUGUGUCUCUCCCUUUGCUGUGUCGAAGUCGCCUCUUCUUUCACACUUCACACCUUCCUCUGCCAUUUGCAACAGGUUAAAGCUUCUUCCUCUGUCACAGCGACCCAUUCAGCUCAUCCACUCAUGUGAGUCUAAUUUUGGUCCAUUAUUUUCACUUUGACUUAUCUGUGAUAAGCUCAUUAUUCACUUUUUGAUCCAUUCAGCACUAAUGUAACUAUAAAUCUGAUACCCUGUGUGGAUGGAAGCUAUCAAUCAACUAUUUCUUAAACGUACUUGUGUGGAUGUUUUAUGCCAAAACAUUUGGUGUGUUUGGUUAAAUUGCUGCAUGUCACUGCCAAAUCUCUUUUUUAAAUUCUGUAAUGAUUAGUCUCUUGAUUUAUUUUUAACCACCAUUGCAUAUUCCUGUAAAAAAAAAAAAAAAAAACUAAAAAACUGCUAUUGCAUAUUGACUUAUAUUUUACCACUCCUUUUAGUUCCAUUCAUUUUUGCUGGGAGGAUAUCUUACUGUAUUUGAAGCAUAAAAGUAUCAACUUUUAGUGAUUUCUUUGUUGUUUUAUUUCAAACAAAAUAUUGGCAAGGUCUUUUGCUGUACCUGGAAAUCAUCUUGGACAACAAAGUCAUGGUUUUCGUUGGCCAUAUGGUCCGGUAAGGAUUUUGUUUUCUUUAGCUUUGAUAUGUUUUUAAUUGGUAUAGUAUGUUCCAAAGGCUAAAAAAAUAUGAGAUCAUUUUGAUUAAGUGUAGAGAGGUCCUAUCAUUGGUCAUUUUUAAUAAGGAAGCUAAGAUAAUAAUAUUGUUCAUAAUUUAGAUAGAGUAUAUCAUUGUCUUUUUCUGGCAUCCAAUCUUUUGAUCAUAUUCUUAGUUGUAUUCAUUGAAAAUAUUUUGAAUGAAAUGAAGCCUACACAUUCUGCACAUGCGUAUAAGUAUCAGGCCACGUGGGUGCAAACUAAGAAUUAUGCCACUAUGGGAUUUACAUCUUGGAUUUUAAUACAUACAGUUCUAUCAUGACUCAUGUGUCUGAAACUUAGUAAUGGCUACCAACAUUGGAUUUUUAUAUGGUGGUGUAAACGAAGCCGAUCAUUUCAAUAUUUGUUUAUCAGUUCAAUUAAAAAAAGAUAAAUUACAUUUUAAUUUCUUAUAAUUUGGCUUAAAAUACUUUAUUCUCUGUUUUGAUAUUUUAUCAUCUUAUAUUUUGUUUUAAUUUAUUAUCGCAUUGAUAAUUUAGUAUAUUUUAUCUAUUUUCUAAAGAUUAAUUAUUAGUAAGGUUGGUGUUGGAAGUGAAGAAAUAAAGAUAUUUUUUAGAUGCAAGAAGGAGGAAACUGAAAACGAAGCAAGUAGUACUACUGUGGUGUGGUGUUAUUUUGUUUGGUUGUUUGAUAAUAAUUGUAAGCAUCAGUAAUGGGCAGUGGGUGGCAGCACAUGGCCGCCGUGCUCCACCAAUCACCAAUCCAACUUCGCUUUCUUAAAUCAUAUCGACAUAAGGACAAUUUCGUAAUAUUUUUAUUGUGGAAAGUGAAAACUAUGAAUCUAGCCAGAUUAUGUAACUAUAAAUAAAUGUUUUAAGAUUAAAAGUUAGUCCGUGGUUACAUGACCACUUAAUAAAGUCAUCAAGUGCUUUUUUUAAAAUAAAAAAAUAACCAUUCAAAUAUAAUUUAAUAGUGUAGAUUCAAAAUAUUUUGCGUGAUUUCUAUUUGGAAAUGGUUGGUUGUCUUUCCUGGUUUGUGUGGCUAUACAAACAUUCAUGCUGAACUGUUUGUCAUCUUUCAUGAUCUCAAUGUACCUUGGAACUCAACUUAUUGGCAUCAUAAAAUUGUAGCAUACAUUAAUGUUUCAAGAAAUUAAAGAUAGAGUCUAAUUUCCACAGUUCUUGAAUAAAUUUACUCCAAUUAAUUUUGAAACAUGAAGAAUACUAAACUAAAACUGAAAGAAUAAUUACGGGUUGAAGUUUGAACAAAUGAAAUGGGCGGCUGAGAUCAUUCACAUCAAUGCAUGUGAUAAAAGUAAAAUACAACAAACAUUAAUUGGAAGACUUAUUAAUUUGUUGGUUUAAAUUUUCAUAGUCUUAACAAAUUCAUCAUAGCUAAUUUGACCAUCACCAUCGAAAUCUGCAGUUGCAAUCAUCUCCUCCACCUCUCCAACAGUUGUGUUUUGACCCAGUUUGAUCAGAACUUGCCUCAACUGCAUAGCACGGAAGGAUUUUAAUAUGUGAGGGCAUGUGUACGUAUGUCUUUGAGCAUAUAUGCAGUUCUUAGUUAAUACUAAUAAAUUCUAUAGAAAAAAAGAAGUUAACACUGAUAAAUUAAAAAUGAUCGAGUGAAAACUGAAAAACAAGAUUUUCUUCCUGAUCUUAUUUUAAAAUGUCAAAACCCAAUGCAUUGUUUUUAAAACCAAACAGGCAAACAACUAUUAUUCAAAGUAUGCCGACAUGUGACAUAUAUAAAUAUGUACAUGAUAUCCUAGCCUCUCACCAUACAACUUCAUUCCAUUUUUAAUAUACAAUUAUGGAAAAGGUUUUAUUAUUAAAAAUAAUACACGGGAAAUUUUAUAUAAUUUUCAUUACUUUUUGUUUUAAAAUUAUUGAUUUUUUUAUUUUAAAUUAUUAAUAUUCUUUAUAUUUCUACCUUUUUUCAUUAUUCUUUAUUUAAAAUAUCUAGAUUUGAUCUUUACAAAAGAAUACUACACUUCUAACCUAUUUAAAAAGCGCUUUAACAAUAUCAUAUAUUAAAUAAGGUUACUUUAAUCUAAAUAUAUGAAUAUUAUAUACUUAUUAAUAAAUACUUUUUAAUCUAUUUACAGUAACCUUAAACAUCAAUAAUUUUAGAAGGGCUGUAGCAAUUUAUAAAAUAAAUUUAAAUUUGUAAUUCCAUGAAAAGGACAAUAUAUAUAUGUGUGUGAAUUGAAAAAAAGGUUAUACAAAUAUUUUUCAUGAAUUAUUCUGUUAUUGAUUCAGUCAUGAAUGAAAAAAAAGGGAAGAUGCACUUUGCAACAUCUUGACCCUACUUGCUUUUUGUUCAAGUUUGAAGUAACCUUACUUUGUCAGAAAUCUCAUGAAUACUUUGAUUGUUGAUUGCAGUCAGAGAAACCAAGUUAAAAUUUAAAAAAAAAAAAAUUGAAUAGAAAGAAUAAAAGUUUAUACAUAUACCUCACUUGCUGAAAUGUAGCCAUUUUGAUCCUUGUCAAACACCUUGAAAGCCUCUCUGUAUUCUUGCUCUUGAUGGGUAUCCUAACCGAGACAGAAAACAGAACUGAACUUAGUAUAUGGCUAUUGUAUAUAUAAUUGUAAUAAUGAGAAGGAUAUUAAUCUUAGCAAAAAAUGCAAUAUUAAUUCCUUACUUGCACUUUGGACUCUUGUUCAACAGGCAGAUCGGCAACAUGUAUUCUAGCAGGAUUAAUCUUCUCAGAGACCGACGCAACAAUUCUCUCAAUAAACUUGUACUCAUAUUCAUCUCUAUUAUUAAUAUUUGAACAUUAAAUUGUGAGACAAGUAAAACUUAAUUAAUCCAAUAAAAAUUAAAACAUAAAAAGAUUGGUAUCAUUGGGUACCUGUAUUUGAAAUGAAAGCCAGACAAGUCAGCAACUUGACGCAGAGCCAUCUCCCAAUUCUGGAACUUUUCUGGAAAUCUUAUCUUAUGCUUAGCCAAUGCUUCUCCAUAAGUACCCUUCUGGUGUCUGACAUCAGAAGGAUACACCUUAUAAAACACUGGUAUAAUCAUCAUCCCAUUAUACUGGGCGCAGUGAACAAUGGAUGUAAGUUCAUCUAAGCAAAAUGAGGAAGAAGCAAAGUCUUCAGAGAGCACAGUGAUGGCAAUUCUGGAAUCUUUAAUUGCCUUCAAAAGUGCAGGUGUUAUUUCCUCUCCGCUGUGAAGCUUCUCUUCGUCAAAGAAGGUACGAAUUCCCUUGUCAGAAAGAGCCCUGUAGAGAUUGCCGGUGAAACCAUAGCGUGUGUCUUCCCCUCUGAAGUUGAGGAACACAUCGUAGAUGGAUGCACGUGAACGUGUUGUUGCAGCCAUUAUUAGAUGAAAAAAGUUUAGAAUGAAACUUGAAGAAAUAUGAAAAUGAAAGUAUCCCAAAUGAUAAGUGUUAUAAAGAAGAUAGCCGCCUUUGUGGAAAAUAUCUUGCUUUUUCUCAUUCAUUGUUAUAAAAGUCAAGUCAAGCUCUUAUAAGGCAAGAUGCUCUCACUUUUUUUUUCAUUUUAAAAAAUACUUUUUAUACUCAAAUUUUGGCAAAUAAACUAUAAAAGUAUUUUAAAUGAUUAAUUGGUGGUACAACUAUUUCUGUCGCCCCUAUAAAAUAAUCUUUAGAGAAUCAAAAUAUAUAUAUAUAUAUAUAUAUAUAUAUUAACUAAUAAGUAAUCUGAUAAUUUUUAAUCAAAAUAGCUUCAGAAUUCGUUUUUUAUCAAAAACAGAGUCAAAAUAUAAAAGAGAGAUGAAAAUAGAAAAGAGAUAGAAUCUCAGAAAAAAAAAAGUUAUGCGUGAAAAUGUUUUACACGGUCAAUCAGCUUCACCUUUUCAACUUAUGUAUGAUAAAUUUGUUGAUUAUUAAACUAAUUAUUUUUAAAUAUUAUCUAUUAAGUAAAAAAUUGUCCUGAAUGCACAUAGUUAUUUAAAAAUCUAUAUAUAUGUAUAUUAAAAGGAUGUAGGACACUGAAUUAGGUUAGGACAAUCCAAAGCAUAACUCAGAAUCCAUUCUAAAGACUAUAUUAAUUUAGUCUAAUUUCAAAAUUCUAAUUCGUCUAAAUCAACUUUAAACUGAAUUCAGAUAAUGAAACUAGUUGGAUAUUGUUCGCCCUACAGUGUGAUAACUAUAAGGUUUGGAAGGAAAACAUUCUUCAUUUUGACUAAAUCAGCAUCGCUUAUGCUAUUAGGAAAUGAUAAAUCACUGAGUAUUACUGAAACUAACAGCUCUAGAUUUGUACACACAUAUAUAUAUGAUGUCUACCAGGCUUAAAUUACUGAGGUCAUAUUGUCAGAGAAACUGGAAUUCCACAUCUCAUAAAAUCUAAAAACAACCAGCUAUGUGUUCAUCCAAGACAAUCCUUAUGAUGAUAAUGAAUAAGACAUUCACUUGAAGUAUAUUUGAUUCUAGAGAGGCGUAGAACAAAACACAUCUAUUUUUUAUUUAUAAGCAAACACAAAUCUACUGAUAUGCUCAAACUCAGAGUGACUUAGCAUCCUAGGUAGGCAUUCUGCUAUAGAAAAGUAUAGCAAAUUCCACUUUCUGAAGUGCAGUAAGCAGCCAAUAUAGUAGUAUGAUUAAACCUAAGCAACACUGUUACAAAUUUAACUAGUCUAAGUCUUUCUUCUUCCUCCUCAAACUAUUUCUUCAUUGGAAGUUGAAUGCACCUGACCUUCACCUUGCAAUAGGGAACCCCUAGAAAACCUAUUCAAAGCAAAAAGGAAUCAAUAUUCUAAACUAAGAGGAAAAAUAAACCAUGGAAAUCCCAUUAAACAUUCUCACCAAAAUCUCAUUUGCAUGGAGUCCUGCUGUAUUUGUAUAAAAAUGUUGAAUCACAGUUCUUUCAUUCCUUCAAUCCAUUAUCGCGACUUUUAGCAGUGCAAAAGUCUUUUAGUUCAAGAGAGCAGUCACUAGUUUCCAGCAAUGGAAACCACUGCAGCAGGAGCAACUAGCAAUAGUUUGUAUGGGGAUUUUGAACCUUACAGCAAAUGGCUUACAAAGGUAGGACAACAGACUCUUGAAGAGUUUUCUGACUUUGCCUUCUCUGUUUCUUAGCAUUUUCACCUCAACAUUUAUUUUUAGAUAGUGGUGUCUCUUGGACUUUGCCUUCUCUGUUCCUUAGCAUUUUCACCUCAACAUUCUUAGCAUUUUUAUUAAAAACAGAGUCAAAAUAUAAAAGAGAGAUGAAAAUAGAAAAAAGAUAGAAUCUCAGAAAAAAAAAAAAAAAAAAGUUAUGCGUGAAAAUGUUUUACACGGUCAAUCAGCUUCACCUUUUCACCUUAUGUAUGAUAAAUUUAAAUUGGCUUGUUUAUUUCUUAGGCUACUUCCUAUCCUUAUUAAUGCCACGUUUUUAAUUUCCAUUCAUAAAUUUAAAAACAACAAGCUAUCAGCCAUCCUAGGACAAUAUCACUUUACUUCCUAAACUUAAUACUUAUUGUCAUUUAGUCCACAAAGCUAUGCUUAUAUUUUUAUUUAAGUCACACAACAUUUAGAAUUUUGGACUAAAAUAAGUGACAUCUUGCAUUUUCAAAGAUUUUUUUUUCUAACCUAAAAAAAUAAUUUUUUAAUCAUUUUAUUACUUUGAGGAAUAAAUUUGGCCGUGUCUCCCAAUUUCAUGAAAAAAUUAUCAUUUACUUAUCUAUUUCACAUGUUUUUAUAUCUAACUAAUAUGAUAUUAAUAGUCAUUUUUAAACUUAGAUGUUUUUAUGUGAAUACUUAGUUUAGUUGACUUCUUGCACUUAAAUUUACAACUUUUUAGUUAUUUAAUUAAAAAAAUAUUAUUCCAUUAUUAUGUCUGAAAUUAAACUAAAUUAGAAAUAUAUUUAAAACACCAUAUUAUACAAUAAGUUUUAUGUUCUGUUUAUAAGAUUGAAAUAUAUUGUCAAUAAACAUACAAAAAUUAAUUAAUUAAUUAAUUAGCAUUCAAAUUUUUUUAUUAAAAUUAAAAUUUGCAAAUGUAUAUACUUUUAGAUCACAUAUACUAAUAUUAGUAGUAUAAAAGAAAUUGUAAUAUAUUAUUAAAUAUACAAAUAAAGUACAAAUAUAUUAUUAUAUUGUUUUAUAGUAGAACUUGUAAGGAAAAAUCUAAAAGUAAACAAAAAGUAUAUUAAAGAAUUUUUUUACUUUCUUUUAAUUACAAUGUAUUUAUAAGAUAAAUAUCUGUUGGUUUAUGUAGUUUUGAAAUCUGGCUAUAAAAAUAUAUAGAAAGAUAAAACUUGAAAGGUUAUAUAUAGAAAAUGCAUAAAGUCAUGAAAGAUGAAUAUAAAUGAGUCAAAAGUACAUUAUGAAGAUAGGGCGAACACCAGUUGGAUUAAGUCGUUUUUUGAAGACUGAAACCAAAAUAAUAAAAUAAAAAAACAUGAAAAAAAUAAGAAAAAAGCAAUGGAAAACUUGCGUGUCCCCAAAGCUAUGGUUUGUAGCAAGGAGGGGCUUUCUGAUGCAGAGCUGCUGAGAUAUGGAUCAUCAAAUCGAAUAUCUUCCUCCAUACUGCCUUCUUCUCUGAAUAUAUGGAUUCCACUUCCUUUGAUGAGUGAGCUCUCUAACUCUAACACACCUUCUUCUUUCUUUUCUUUUUCAUACUCUAACACAUUUGGAUAUCUAACCUCCACUUUUUCUUCACCUGCUUCCGAUUCUACCCAUUGCCAGCUGUUGCAAUUUCUAAUUUGGAAUCGAAACAGAUUGGGCAUCAUGGCUAAGCUACAUCGUAACCGAACAAUUCUACACCUCCUCAGGGUUAUCUCACGGAGUCCAAUAAGAUUUUGAAAUGAAAAUGGCAAUUCUUUUAUGGGAAGGCGUUCCAAAUGAAGUGCCGUUAUGUUUUCCAUCUCGCCUAAUAUUUCUGGAAAAUACUCUAGACUCGAACAGUGAGAAAGUUCAAGUGUUUCAAGAGAGGUCAAGUUGAGAGGCGGAAAACUCGUAAGCUUCCUGCAACCAGCAGCAUUCAAUAUUUCAAGUUUAUUCAGAAAACCAAUUGAGUCAUCAAUUGCAACUAAACUCUCACACCCUACAAAUGAAAGUUCCCUCAAAUUUGGGAGAUCAGAUACAUCAGGUAUCUGUGUUAAAAAUUUGCACUUGUCAAACUUCAAAACUGUUAGAUGCCCCAACUUCUGCAAAGGCAAAAAAAAAACAAGAAAUAAGAACCAAAUGAAUAAAUUUAAUUCAUGGAAUGAGGAAAAUAUACUCUUUAAACUUGCCUUCGAUGAGCCAUGGAACUCUAAUGAUGUAAUGGAACUGUCAGGUAACUUGCAUAUAACAAGGUUGAUUGGAUCAAAGUUAGACGGUAAACAAUUUGAAGGAUAUCUAUGCCAUUCCAGUACUCUCAAACCUUCUGGAAAAUAAUUGGGACCUUUGGAAAAUUUGCCAUUUCUAAUAAUAAGUAUUUUAAGGUUUUCCAUCUUCAUGAACGCGUUUUCAUUCCAUUCCACUGUUUCUUCUUUGUCAGAUAUGGAGGAAUCCAGACAUAUGAUUUCAAGUUUACUAGUUCCCUGUUAAUGCAAAAAGGCACGAAUCAACCACAAUACAACUUGUGUGAAAUAUCAAUUCACUCGCUUAGAGAAAUUUAAAAAUUAUCAAGAAAAAGUUAACUAUGAUGUAAAUAUGAGAUAGACAAAAAACAUUUCAUCUAUUCACGAGCUCACUCACCGUGUUGUGUUUUAAAACUUGAAUUAUAUCUUUUGGUGACCAUAAUCUCUUGCACUUCCCGGGCUCUUCUGGUGAUCUCUGCCGCUCAAUGUCUCUACCCAUGUCCUGAAUCAGGUCGUGCAUUUCAACAUUAUCACGCCAGCUAACCUUUAAUAAGAGAGAUUUUUCAACCAACACCCCAAUAUGAUGCAUCUUGCAGUUACUAUAAAGAGCACGGAAUAUAUCAUAAACCUCUGUCCAUUUAUACCCUUUGAAGCAACAAGCAAUGUCAAGAAAAACAUUCUUUUGUUCUUCCUCCAAAGCAUCAAAGCUUACUUCUAGAAUCUUUAAGAUUUCAUUACUGGGAAUUCUUUUAUAAGUUUCAAGGGCAGAUUCCCAUUCUGCUACAGUUUUUCCAUACAAGUUGGAACCUAUGACUUCCAAAGCCAAUGGAAGGCCAGAAGCAUAGGUUACUACACGAUUCAAGACGUCCUUAUAACUUGGAUCAAUUUUUUCUCUUUUAAAAGCAUUCCAAGUAAGCAAUUGAAAAGCAUCAUCGUGAUUCAAAACAUUCACCUCAUAAGUUCUUUCAACCUCAUGAUAUUUUAGCAGAUGCUUGUCCCGAGUGGUAAUGAUGACUCUGCUACCGGGACCAAACCAAUCAGGUUUUCCAACAAUAGCCUUUAAUUGCUCACGCUUGUCAACAUCGUCUAAAAUCAAGAGAAUCUUCUUUAGUCGGAGCCUAUGUUGUAUCAUUGAAGCUCCUUCUUGCCAACUUGUUAAGGUGAUGUCCUUCUCACCAAGUAAUUUUGAAAGAAGGACGCUUUGAAGGUGUUUUAACCCAUGUUUAUUUGACUCUUCUCUCACGUUUUGAAGAAAACAGGAUUCAUCAAAAUGGGGAGCAAUAAAAUUAUAAACUGCCAUAGCAAGUGUUGUUUUUCCUAACCCGCCCAUUCCAUGGAUCCCUAUGAUGUGGACAACAUCAUCGGAUCCAACAUCCAAAAGCUUCAUUACCUCUGUCACUUGUGACUCUAGACCAACUGGAUAAUCCGCAACGUGUAAAGAAGCAAGACCAAACAUCCUAGAGACCUGCUUGACAAUACGCCCAAUAAGCAUGUAUUCAUAUGAACCUCUGUUUCAAACAAACAAAAAAGUUCUGAUGAAGUCAGCCUAAAAUCCUUGCAUCCAUGUCUUGAUAGGUACAUUAAUUGUCAAGGUUAACAAGAGCAUUUCUUUUCUAUUUAAAUUUUACUAGUUAAAUCAAUAGACAAGUAAAACCUAAUCCAAUAAAAACCAUAAAGUAAAAUAUAUUAGUAUGAUUGUAUACCCAUCUUUGAAAUGAUAGCCACACAAGUUAGCUACUUGUUUCAAAGCCAUCCUCCAUUUCUGCAGCUUCUUAGCUUUGAACCUCUUCUGAUGCUUAGCCAUUGCUUCUCCAUAACUACCUUUCUGGUGUCUGACAUCAGAAGGAUCUACGUUGUGAAAGACUGGUAUAACUUCCCUCUCGCAGUGUAGGAUGGUUACAAGUUCAUCUAAACAAAAUGAGGAAAAAGCAUAGUUUUCAGAAAGCACAAUAAUAGCUACCCUGGAAGCUAGAAUUGCCUUGUAAAGUCCAGGUGUUACUUCGGUUUCUCUGGGAAGCUCCUGAUCAUAAAAGAAAGUGUAGAUUCCCCGGUCAUUAAGAGCUUUGUAGAGAUAGAAAGUGAAACCACGGUGUGUGUCUUCCCGUAUGAAGCUGAGGAACACAUCGUAGAUGAAUGGACGGUAACGUGUUGUAGCAUCCAUUAUUAGAAGAAAAAAGUUUAGUAUGAUAAUGGUGGAUAUGGUGGGAGUGUAGAAGAAAAAAGUUUAGUAUGAUAAUGGUGGAUAUGGUGGGAGUGUAGAAUCAGACUUGAACAUAUGGUAACAAUGACAUCGUACCAAAGUAGAUAAGCCUUGUGGAAAAUAUCUCGCUUUUUUUUUCUUUUCUCUCUCUGUCAAAUAAGUCAAAAUCGUACUAAAUUUUAACUUCUCCCCGUCCCCCAUUAAAAUUGUUAGACAUAAAAAAUUAGCAAAUUUCACAAAUUCUGUGAGCUGAGAUUAAUGUGCAAGAACACAUUCUUUCAACUCCAAGUUCAAGGCUAUUAAUUCCUAAUAACAAAAAAGGUUAUUAAUUCCUUAAAAAAAGCAUAAAGUUAUUAAUCAACUGCUGGUACAUCCUUCCCCAGAAAAAUUAUAAAUUUUUAAUCAUAAGUAUGAGUUUUUUCUAAUUAUAAGCUUCAAAGGUUUUAUUGCAUUAGAAUUCCGUUUGACUCAUUUUUAUUUUGAAGAUUGCCUUAAAAUUAAAAUUUAGAAAUAAGAGGUUUAAAUAUAACUAAAAGAAUUAAUAUAUAUUUUUUUAAAAAUUUCAUUAACUUAAAAUAGAUCAUCUGAAAUGAAGAAAUUAAGGAAGUUUCGGACAUGCGGUUCAAACUUGUGGAAAAUAUGUGUGUGUUUUUUUUUUGUUCGUUGCUUUCUGAAAUUUAUGAUUGUGCGUAACCCGAGGUCUACGUUCUACAAAUGAAUGCCAUUUAGACUAAAGAAACAUGACUCCGCAUUUUCAUCUAAAUUAUUACUUUUUAGAAUGCUACCGACACAUUAACAACCUAAGCAGCACAUUAACAAAAUUUAACUGAUCGAUUCUAGUUCCCAACCUCAUUUUUGGCUUAUUAAUCCCUCAAAAAGAAACAAGUUCACAACUCACAGGAUUGUUGGAACAAAAUUUUGUAAAAUGAAAUCUCAAAUUCUUAAGUUGUAGUUAAAAGGAUCCAUCAAAAGUAUGCUAAGAAAAGAAAAAAGAAUAUAGGAUGGGGAAGGAAUUUAAAACAGAGGUUUCCCUCAAUUACAGUUUACACACCUGAUUCUCACCAUGCAAUACAAUGAUAAGGAAUUAAGGAAGUUUCGUGGAUAUUGCCAAUAGAACCUUGCCAAUAGAAAUUAAGGAAAUUAUUGCAAAUGGCUUACAAAGGAUGGACAAGCGACUCUUGAGAUUAAUUUGAAGGGUAUUAAUUAAAAUUCAUUUUCUCCUUAUAUGUUCUCAGCAUUUGGAUGACAUUAAUCUUAAUCUGCAAAUUAUAUUUUGAGUCAAAUUAUUAUCCAUUAGAAUUAGAUGUUGGAAGAUUCCAAAACAAAAAGAUUGUAUGUAGUGGACAAUUUCAUCUUUUGUGCUAGUUUAUAAUUUAAUAUUAAAUUCAAAUUCUAAGAUAAAAUUAGAAUUCAUUCUAGGAAUAAUGAGUUUAUUAUACUACUUAUUAUUAAAAAAUCUAGAAUAUUCAUUUAUCGGUGUAAUGGGACAUAAUGGUCCCACAUAUAUCACCUAACAAUUUCUCCAAACUUCACACCUUUAUUUUUAAGGACACAGAACUUAAGAAUAUCAUAAUUAAAAAUAUUGCUGACAUAAAUUAAAAAUGGAAAGAAAAUCAUAAUAAUAAAUUAAGAUGAAAUUUAUUCUAAUGGUAUACAUAUGGUAAUCUUUUCUGAUCUUAAACUCUUACAUGUUUCAAAAAUGAGCAACUUAAGAUUUAAACCUAUAACUGGGGGAUCUAACAAUUCAUGGAAAAAGGCCUGUGGAUGCAUCAAAUAACAAACGGAGCCGUUUACGCAAUUAAAGAAAUUAAAUUUUCAAAAGGAUGUAAUAUGAAUUCAAUCCGUGCAAAGUUUUCUUAUGGAAUUCUUUUCAUUGCAAUGCCUAAAGAAGCCGUCACGGAGAAUCAUUUCAUUUGGGGGUAAAGAAACAAGGAAAGAGAGUAUCACCCAUUAAAGUUGCAAUUGGAGUGGUGAUGCAAUAGUUAAGUUGAUUAACUAGACCACAAGAACUACAAUGAGAUGCGGGUUAAAAUCAGGAUAUAUAUAUAUAUAUAUAUAUAUAUAUAUAUAUAUAUAUAUAUAUAUAUGAUCUAUGCUAACAAUAAUGCAUAGGAUUACUUGCUUUCAUAAUAUUUUCUGUGGCAAUGAGAAAAUUAAAGCGAGUAAGGUGUGCAUAUAUAUUUUAUGUUUCCUUGUGACAUAUCUUCGAAGAAUAAUAAUAAAGAAUGGUUAUUAAGAAAUUUAAUGAGCAAAGGAGGAACGCAAGCGGAAAAGAAAGCAUAACCUAGGUUCCUUCCGUCUUUGGGUGUUGCCCAGUGGCUUGGCCACCGACGGAGUGGAUCUUUGCUCUCUACAAACGAUGGGGUUCCUUCUUCGAUCCUAGGGAGUUCUAACUGCCUCGGUCUCUAAAGUUUUUCCUUGUUUUUCCCAAUCGCGUGCCGUAUCACUUUUUCUCAUCUUGGGCUAUGAAAUAGUUGCCAGUUGGAACUGCUCUUGAUGGGGAAGAACAAGGGUCGUCAAUCGCACUCAACUGCAAAGCAAAUUAUGGUGAAGGGUACUACCUCAGGUUCACGUAAAUCCCAAACAUCUGCUACUUCUAGUCUGGCUGGUUGCUUGGAUGUUGUCCAAGUAAAUCAGAAUGCUUAUACUGCUUCACAGGAUAAUCUUGUAGGCAAGGUGCUCGUAAAAAAGGCAAGGACAAGUUUUGCAAAAACUAAUGAUGUCGCACACCAAGUGUUUGAUAAUUUGUCGAAAUGCAGUGCUGAAUCUGAAUCUUCCCCAGAGGUUUCUUACACCUUAGGGGACAAUGAUUCAACCACUAAUGAUGAUUCAUCUCACUCAUGUGGCUCUAAGUUAUCACCACAGCUAGACGACAAUAAGGCUCCCACUCCUUGGGUCAAUCUUUUCAAAGAUAACAGAAGCCCUUCCAAAGGUUUUGGAAUGAAGUUCUCCCCUCCAUCCUCUGAUGAUGAAGUGUUGUUGGAAGAAACUGAUUUGCAACCCCUGGAAGAGGCUUGGGGACAUAGCCUUAUUAGCUAUGUGGCUGGUCGAUUCCUAGGAAAGAAAGCUCUACUGGAUUGUUGCCAAAAAUGGGGAGUCAAGUUUUCAUACUCAGCUCAUGAAAGUGGUUGGCUGGUGUUUAAAUUUGAGUCUGAGGACAAUCUGAACCAAGUCCUCUCUGUAGGCCCUUACUUCAUAUUUCAAAGACCCCUAGUGCUGAAGGUUAUGCCAGCAUUCUUUGACUUUGGCAAUGAGGAGCUCAGCAAGAUCCCUGUCUGGGUUAAACUCAGAAAUCUACCUCUGGAGCUUUGGAAUCCUCAAGCCUUAGGAAAAAUCCUGUCCAAGAUUGGUUCGUCCAUUCGAUCUGACCAUCUUACUACUUCUAAGGGGUCUAUUUCUUUUGCUAGAGCUUUAGUUGAGGUUGAUGCUUCUUUGGAGCUCAUCGAUGAAGUGCAAUUUAGACUUCCUACAGGGAAGACUUUUGUGCAAAAGAUUGAGUAUGAAAAUAGACCUUCUUUUUGCACUUACUGCAAGAUGAUUGGGCACCGUCUCACUAAUUGUAAAAUUGUCACUGCAAAUAAGCAUGUUCUCAUCACAGCCUGCCCCACCUUGGACCAGCCACAAGUGGGUGAUUCAGCAAUGCCCCCACAUACCAAUACAGCAGGUCCCUCUAAUAAUCCAAAGAAUGUACAGACUAAUUUGUCUGUCCCUCCUCACAGAAAACAUGUUCUGGUUGCAAAUCAUGUUCCUGUCCUUCAGAAUUCUUCUGACCUCAAAGAAACAGGGAACAUUGAGUUGGAUGAUCCUAUAGAAGAGGGGUUUGUUCAGGUGAAAACAAAACACCAGAAAAAAGGUAAAAAAAAAAGUGCAAUUUAUAAAGACAACCCGUAUUGAGGAUAUGCAAGCUGAUGUCCAAAGAGGAAGAAAUCAUAAAGUUGUAACUAGGGUGGAGGAGAUUUCCUCCCGUCCGAAUCCAUGAUCAUUGCCUCUUGGAACAUCAGAGGCUUUAAUUUGCCUCUAAAGCAUCAUGCGAUGCAGAGCUUCCUUCGCUGCAAGGAAAUUAACGUCAUGGUUGUGUUGGAAACUAAGUUGAAUAAGGCUUCAGUUGAGGAAAUCAUGAGAAGAAAGUUUGGUGACGACCCGCCUCGUCGAUACGGUAUCCACACCCUAAUAUUCAAUAAUUUCAUUUUUUUUAUUUAUAAAAAGAACUUCCUUAAUUUUUUAUUAUGAAAAUAGAAGUGAUUUUGUCACAACAUAAAUUCAUCCAACAACACACCAUUACUUAAGUGAAUAUGCAUAAUUACAUAAAAACAAUAAUUCGGUACAGUCAUACACAUAACAAAAAUUAAAUAUGUUCAUAUAUAUAUAAUUAAAAUUCCAGUUUUACAUCUUUAACUCAACAAAAUAAAACUUAAAAAAACAACUACGGAGGAGUUGAUUACAAAACACAACUCUCUCCCAAAAUAACGCCAACGUCAUCACGUCGGCUCGGCGGCUCCUCACCAGAAUCUUACUCGCUACACCCUGCCACUGUCAUUCUGCUCCCACGAACAAGGUUCGUGAUCAUCACAGGUACCAACCACACGAUACAAAAUUGCAAGGGUGAGUUUAUUAUAAAAGAACCAAUACCAAUUCCAAAUAACCACAAUUAGCAAGGAACAUAGGCAAACAUGAUAAGCAUACACAACAAUCAUUAUUCAACACUCAUAUUCAACAAAUAUUCAUCAUUCACAUCCAACGAUUACUCAUCAUCCAUCCAUGGACCCAAUCAAGACUGCACAAAAUGAUGCAUGCACCUGACUCAACACUCAGAUGCAAUGUGGUACGUACCAACAACAACCAAAUAUCAGGAAAUAGCCUAAGCAUGUCCACACGACACUCUCACUUAGGGAACUGUGCUGAGUUUGUCGAGACCACCCGAUUGUGCACGUAACAGCCCCCCUCCCAUAGGUGAUCAACCUGGGAGCCCAAAGGUGUUCCCUACCAGGUGACAGCCCCCUAGUACAAAGUACACUUGGCCACAGUUACUCUAUUUCCUGUGUCGUAUGAGCUAUGAUCACGGCCAAAAGUGAAUGCCAAAGACCAUGGACCAAUUAAAGCACCUAAGCAUCCCCUCAGGAAUGCUUAGAUUCUCUAACCACGCUAGUUACCCACGUCUGGGCCAUCCGACAAGGUCAGUGCACUCUACCCCCCAUGACAUACACUUCAUACGACGUAUGAUCAUGACCAAAAGCUAGUGCCAAAGACCCUGGAAGGUCAGUGCACAGUGCCCCCCACGAUCAUACACAACAUCCAACGUAUGAACGUGGCCAAAAGCUAGUGCCAAAGACCUUGAAAGGUCAGUGCACAGUGCCCCCCACAAACAUACACAACAUGCACAUGCCAAUGCAUUUCCAACAUCAAUGAACAAAUCGUAUUUCCAUGUCAUUCACAACAUAAAUAUCAUCUCAUCUCAAUGACGUUAUCAACAACAACAACAACCUCAUUUCAUAUUCACAUAUUCAUCAAUAAUAACAAUUCAUGUUGACAUGGUCUUUAUUAACAAUGUCAUCUCAAAUCAAUAUCAUCAUAAUCAUCAUUAUCAUCACAUAUCAAUUAAAAUCCUCAAUAGCAACAUCAACAACAAUUCAAACAAACACAACAAUAUCAUUUCCACACGCACAGCCUUCAAACAGCCAAAACAAUAUAAUUCAUCACAAUAUAUAUAUCGCAUCCCAUUAGUUAAAACAUAAUUUUCUUUGAAGAAAAAUCAGCAUGCACAGGGACAGACAGAUAUUCUCAUAGCUAGGUUCCCUGACCCUAACUAUGGUGUUAAAAUGGUAAAUUUUAUAAUAAACUCCCCUUACCUAUAGUGAGCUACCCCACGGAUUCCUCGUCGCGUCACUUGAAGAUUCCUUUUUGUCCUUGCUUGUCGAUUCCACACAAGUCUCUCAAAAGAAAAUGAAAGAUCAGAUUAGGGUUUUCGUUCUCUACCGAAACCGCAAGCCAAGUUGGAAAUUCUGCUUCAGUUGAAGGGUUCUUCUCAGUGUGGGUUUUCAAUGGAGAACAAUGAUGGUUUGUGGUGGCUAAUGGUGGAUGUGGGUGAUGGAGAAAGUACUUGGAACUUUAGAAAUGGAUUUGGAGGAAAGAAAGAAGAAAAAAAUGACAUUUUUCCUAAGCUACAAGAAAGCAAAGGCUGAAAUGCUUAAAUAAGAGAUGCUCUCGGGAACGGAAGCUUCUAGCACACUCCAGACAUCUUAUCAACGAUCCCAACGGUCAGAUCAUGGACAAGUGUCUUUUGAAGUUGCAAACCAAAUUUCGAGAAAAUCCAACGGUGAACGGAGGCUGGGAAGCAUUUUUACCGAGGCAGCUCCAUGUAGUUUUCUCUAGAAGCUUCAUUAAGAGGCUUCCUCUAGAAGCUUCAUUAAGAGGCUUCUAGCACACUCCAGUCAUCUUCUCAAAGAUCCCAACGGUAAAAUCAUGGUAAAGUGUCUUGUGAAGUUGCAAACAAAAUUUCGAGAAGAUCCAACGGUUAAUGAAGGCUGGGCAGCGUUUUUACCGAGGCAGCUUCAUGUAGCUUUCUCUAGAAGCUUCAUCAAGAGGCUUCCUCUAGAAGCUUCCUCGUGGCUUCUUUGAGAAGCUUUCUCAAGAGGCUUCUUUGAAAAGCUAGAUCCUUAUCUAUACACCCCUCUAUUAACUAAAUUAACUUCCUUAAAAAUAAUUACGGAUGAAAAUAACGCAACAAAUAAUCAAACAUCAAACAUAAUUACUAAUAAUAUAUAGAUAUAUAUAUCAGGGUGUUACAACUUUGCUUCUCAUAAUGCUGGCAGAAUUCUUAUCCUCUGGAAACAGGAUAAGACUCAUCUUUCUGUUUUGGAGUCAAAUGCCCAAUUGAUUCACUGUGCUAUUGAUUGCAAAACCACUGUCAAGCGCUUUCAUGUUUCAUUCAUCUAUGGUUUUCACUCCAUUAUGGCAAGAAGAUCUCUUUGGAUAAAUCUGAAUAGUAUCAAUGCUAAUAUGAAUUGUCCCUGGCUUCUCAUUGGUGACUUCAACUCCAUUAUGUCUCUCAUCGACCGUUUCAAUGGAGCUAAGCCCAAUGCUUAUGAGUUGCAAGAUUUUGUUGAUUGCUAUUCUGACCUGGGGUUAGGGAGCAUCAACACUCAUGGCCCCUUGUACACAUGGAUUAAUGGCAGGGUGUGGAGCAAACUGGACAGAGCUUUAUGUAACCAGGCUUGGUUCAAUUCCUUUGGAAAUUCUGCUUGUGAAGUUAUGGAGUUUAUUUCUAUUUCAGAUCAUACUCCUCUAGUUGUCAUCACUGAGUUGGUAGUGACUAGAGGUAAUUCUCCAUUUAAAUUCAACAAUGCUAUUGUGGAUCAUCCAAAUUUCUUAAGAAUUGUUGCAGAUGGCUGGAAGCAAAAUAUUCAUGGCUGUAGCAUGUUCAAGGUCUAUAAGAAAUUGAAAGCUCUUAAAGCUCCCUUGAAGAAUCUUUUUAAGCAGGAGUUCAGCAACAUCUCCAACCGAGUGGAGGUAGCUGGGGCUGAAUAUAACAGUGUGCUUAAUUCUCUAAAGCAAAAUCCUCAGGAUCCUUCCCUUCUUCUUGCUCUGGCAAACCACACUAGAGGACAUACCAUUAUGCUUAGAAAAGCGGAGUCUAUGAAAUUUGCUCAGCUCAUCAAAAACAAAUAUCUCCUGCAGGCUGAUAAAUGCUCCGAAUUCUUUCAUGCUUUAAUCAAGCGCAACAGACACAGCCGGUUUAUUGCUGCCAUAAGGCUAGAGGAUGGGCAUAACACUUCCUCCCAAGAUGAAAUUGCCCUUGCUUUUGUGAAUCACUUUAGGAAUUUGUUUAGUGCUCAUGAGCUGACCCAAAUUCCUUCCAUUUUGAUCUGCAACAGGGGUCCUAAGGUUCUCACCGAUUGCUUUGCGGCCUUACUUUGUCCUACUUCUAAGCAAGAGGUUUGGAACGUUAUUUCUGUGAUGAAUAACAAUAAAGCUCCUGGGCCAGAUGGUUUCAAUGUUUUAUUCUUCAAGAAGGCUUGGAAUAUCAUUGGUGAUGAUAUCUUUGCAGCGGUUAAUGAAUUCUUUACAACUGGAAAAAUUCUAAAGUAGCUCAACCAUGCUAUUAUUGCGCUUAUUCCUAAGCAUGAUCAGGCCUCCCAGGUUAACCAUUUUAGACCCAUAUCUUGCUGUAAUUUGUUAUACAAGAUUGUGUCUAAAAUUCUGGCCAACCGCAUAGCCCCAGUGCUUGAGACUAUUAUUGGGGAAACUCAAACUGCUUUCAUUAAGAACAGAAAGAUGAUGGACAACAUCUUCCUAGUUCAAGAGAUUUUGCGCAAAUAUGUCCGAAAAAGAUUCUCUCCGAGAUGCCUCCUGAAAAUUGACUUGCAUAAAGCUUAUGAUUCCAUUUCCUGGGAAUUCUUGGAUUGGAUGCUUAAGUCCAUUGGCUUCCCAGCCCAGUUCUGUACUUGGAUCAUGGAAUGUGUUUCUUCCACUUCCUUUAGUGUGGCAGUUAAUGGAUCCAUUUAUGGUCACUUCAAAGGACAGCGGGGUCUUAGACAAGGGGAUCCUCUCUCCCCUUAUCUGUUUGUGCUCUGUUUGGAGUACUUUUCCAUAGAUAUGAGCAGUCUCAAGGAUGAUGCCAAUUUUAAAUUUCAUCCCAACUGUGCAGGUAUUCAGCUAUCUCAUUUGGCUUUUGCAGAUGAUAUUAUGCUUCUAUCUAGAGGAGAUAUCCCUUUUGUGUCAACUAUGUUUGCCAAGUUUCAGCACUUCUGUAGGGUUUCAGGGCUUUUCAUCAGCUCUGAUAAAUCUGCCAUAUACUCAGCCGGUAUUAGGUCUCAUGAGCUUUCUCAUAUUCAGCAGCUUACUGGAUUUAGCUUGGGUGACUUCCCUUUUAGAUACUUGGGUGUUCCCAUUUUAUCAUCUAGAUUAAAUGUAUGUCAUUAUGCUCCUUUGCUUUCCAAGAUUACUGGCCUGAUUCAGGGAUGGAGCAAGAAGUCUUUAUCUUAUGCAGGUAAGUUAGAGUUGAUCAGAGCAGUUAUUCAAGGAAUUGUGAAUUUCUGGAUAGGGAUUUUUCCUUUGCCGCAAUCUGUUCUGGACCGAAUCAACGCUUCGUGCCGUAAUUUUCUGUGGGACAAAGCGGAUAUUGGCAAAAACAAGCCCUUGGUUGCUUGGUCAGUAGUUUGUUCUUCGAAAAAAGAAGGGGGUUUAGGCCUUUUUAAUCUCAAGGACUGGAACCUUGCGCUUCUUUCCCGUAUCCUGUGGGACUUUCAUUGUAAGAAAGAUUCUCUAUGGGUUCGGUGGGUUCACCAGAUGUGUGGAAUUACAAUACUUCUUCAUCAGAUUUAGUUUUGAUAAAGAAAAUCAUUCAAAUAAGGGACUUUAUUAUCUCCAAAGAGCUAAGUACGGAAGAGGCCAAAAAGAGGAUUAAAUCUUAGAGCACCAAUGAACAAUUGCUUGUUGGCAAAGUCUAUGAAUACAUUAGAGGUGUCAAGCCUACUGUUAGUUGGUGUUCUGUUAUAUGGAACCCAGCAAUCCCCCCUAAGAUGUCUUUCAUUCUGUGGCUUGCUAAAAGGAACCGGCUGCUUACUCUUGACAAAAUUGCUUUUUUGAACAAGGGUUCCCUCUGUCCUUUAUGUUCAAAUGAGGCUGAGUUAAAUGCUCAUUUGUUCUUUUCUUGCAGGAAAUCUCUCCAAGUUUGGGCUCACAUUCGUGAUUUGGCUCCUUUCCGCAGGCGUUUCACUUCUUUACAGCGCAUUACUGACUCUUUAAUUAGGGGUAGAUCCACAUCAGGUGUUCAAGAAAAAUUACGUUGUCUGGCUAUAACAAUUACAGUCUACUGCAUCUGGUUGUCUAGGAACAAGCUGAUUUUUGAAGAUUAUCAAUUUUCUGUAAUAGAGGUUAUUAGCAAGAUUAAGUUUCUUAUAUAUAGACAAGUGCACCUGUUGCAUUUGUUUUAGCAUCUUGAUAUAGGUCUUCUUGUAUUAGGGAGACUUUUGAUUUUCUCUAGCGGCGGGGUAUGUUCCGUUUAUUGUUGUAUCAUUUUGGGUUUAAUAUAAUUUACAUUUUCCAAAAAAAUAAUAAAAAAUGGUUAAUUUGGAUCACCAUCACCUAAAUCCAUUCAUGCAUUGAUGGUAAUUAGUGUUAUGUAGUAUUUAUUUAUUUUUAUUUAUGAGUGAUUUUUAUAACCUAAAAGGUUGAAUUUAAAAAUAAUUGAUUAAUUAAAGUCUAAGAAUAAUUAUUUAAUGCUAUAAAAAAGUAAUUAAUUAAUUAAUUUUGUAACCGUAAGUUCACAUUUUUUUGAAUGUUGAUUCUCAUAAAAAAAAUUGUUCAUCUUUAUGUUGUAUUUUUUCAAUUUAUAUUUUUUAAGAUAUUUUAUUUUUUUUAGUUUGUAAUUUUGUAUUUUUUUAAUUUUAUUCCCCGAUAAGCAAGCCAGAUCUUAUGAUGAUUAUAAAUAAAAAAUUAAAAUCUUAAAAGAAUUAAACUUAAAAAAUUACAAACUUACAUAAAAUAAUUUUUUUUUCAAAGACAAUCAAUUUAUAUAAAUUAAAAUUAUAAAAAUAAACUUAUGAGAAUAAAAAAAAAAACACUAACUUAUGUUUAAAUCUUAAAAUAUUAAACAUAUCUUAACUUAAAACAUUGAUUCAGACUUGAAAGUGACUUCGCUAUGAUUUUUUUUAAAAAGGAAAACAGAAAAAAAAAAUUAAAGGCAUUACCUAAAAUGGUGUUUGGUUUGAAAGUUUUACGUUUUUAUUUAAAAUAAAAAUAAAAAUAAGUCUGUUUAAAAUUUAAAAAGUACUUUUUAAAAAAUAUUUUCAAAAAUAAAUUUAAAACUAAAAAUAACAUAUCAAUAUUUGUAGUCUUUUAUGAAAAAAUAUUAUAAAAAAUUAAAAUGCAGUGGCACUUGUAGCACUUUUUUAUUUUUACAUAUUUUCUAAAAAUUUGAAACAAGUUUGAUAAUAAAAGUAAUAGAAGUUACAUAUUACCUUGAUAAUUUGGUUGAAAACACCCACACAUAAGAUGUUUUACUUUAAGUCAGAUGUAUUUGUUCGAAAAGUAAUAGAAGUUAAUUUUGUAUGAUAAAAAUCAUAUGAAAAAUGUUAACCAAUAAUUUUGGACAUUGAUUAAAAAAUAAAAAUAAAAAUAUUGAAAAAUAUCACAUACGAUAGACUUUUUUUGUAAUUUUCAAUGCGACUUAUUAAUUUGAUAACGCAACUUCGAUUUUGGAGGGUCAAAUACGAUUUUACAUAUUUUAAUUAUUCCUGAUACUCUUCUUGAUGCAUAUUAAUAGUAUUAUUUACGUUAUCAAAAAGAAAAUACACUGAAUAAUAUUAUUCAAUUUAUCUUUCACUUGAUUCAAACUUCUUUCUCAUUUUAUCCGACUUUUCUAUACAUGAAUAUUGCCAUCCUAAAAAAGGAAUAAUAUUCAUAUUCAUUUUAAUUUUAAAUAAAACAACCGCGUUUCAUUUGCCUCUCUGACAAAAAGGCAGAAAAACAAACGUGUAGACCGUAAAAACACGUUUUCUCAUUUGCUUCUUUAGCUCUUAAUGGGGAAAGGCAGAAAAAUUAGACAUGACAGACCAUAACAAACACUUUCAUAGGACAAAAACAGAAAAAAAGCUAAUAUAUAGUUUUACAAUUGUGCACUUUGAUCUUUCAAAUUUUUUAUUACAUAUCUAGUCUCAAAAAUUAGAAACUAUUUUUUGUCUCACUCAAAUGUGGAUUCUUUGUUGCUUCUCUCACUCACACACAAAAUAGAAAGGCAUCAGGAACAAAACAAUGUUAGCGAUUGAAUUAUGGAACGGAUAACAAUUAUAAUUACAAUAAUAUAAAAUUUCGACCUUGAUUUUGCAUUUGCUGCACCAUUUCUCUCUAAGCCAUGUAAACAGCAUAUUUGGAUUAAAUUUUGGAUAUCACGCUUUCACCUUUAUAAGUAACUUUUUUAAUUUCUAAUCAAAAUACAUAUAGUUCGAAAUUCGAAGUUAUCUUCCAAGCUAACGAUGUUAUUUGUGGAUAAAACACACCUCGUACUAUGGUUAAAUUAAAAUCCAAACAUGCUUAAAGUGUUCAACUGAUCGAGCUUAAGUACCCAUGAGCCAAUGACCUAUGAUCAUACUCAAACACAAUCUUCAGGGUCUCGAAUUAAAUAUAAGCAAAAUUAAUUAUUAUCAUUUAAUUCUUCUAAUUACAUUCUGUUUAAAAAAUAAACUAUUUCAUGUGUCCUUUAUUAAAAUUGAAUAUCUAAAAUAAAAAAAUAUCAUUAAAACUAAAAUAUUAAUUAAUUGAAUUUUAUUUUUAGAAUAAUACCUUUAAAUAGAAUAAAAGCAAUUAAAAUUUAUUUAUAUUUAAAUCUACCAAUCCUUUUUUUUUGUUACUUAUAAUUGAGCCUGGGUAAAUUAUUUCUUAAUUUAAAAAAAAACAAAUACUAUUAGUUGCCAAUAUUUUUUAUAAAAUUACUAAUAAAUAGUAUUACUAAUAGUCCUGUUUAUAAUAUCGAACUUAAUUCAAGUUUUAACACAGGGUUGAAUGGCUGAGAUGGCUGAAAGCACGUGAAGUGGAAAAGCUGAACUACUGUCCUUGUUUUGCAGGGUUGAAUGGCGAAAGGACAUGUUUGACGAAAUGCACUUCCUUAUGCCACGUGGAUAUUGUGAGAAACAAUAUUGAUGUCAUGUAAAUAUUAUAUUAAUAAUAUUAAGUGGUCCAUCAAUGCUAAAAUCUAUUUUACUUGUAUAAAGGUUCUAAAAUCAAAUAAAAUUCUGAAAUGAAAAUGAUAAUAUUUUUUCUGGAACACAUUGCAAAAUAAUAAACUUUAAACCAACCUAGUAUGCUAAUAUCAAAAUUCUAAUUCGUCUAAAUCAACUUUAAACCGAAUUCAGAUAAUGAAACUAGUUGGAUAUUGUUCGUCCUACAGUAUGAUAACAAUAAGGUUUGGAAGGAGAACAUUCUUCUCCAUUUUGACUAAAUUAGCAUAGCUUAUGCUAUUAGGAAAUAAUAAAUCACUGAGUAUUACUGAAACUAACAGCUCUAGAUUUGUACACAUAUAUAUAUGAUGUCUACCAGGCUUAAAUUACCGAGGUCAUAUUGUCAGAGAAACUGGAAUUCCACAUCUCAUAAAAUCUAAAAAUAACCCGCUAUGUUUUCAUCCAAGACAAUCCUUAUGAUGAUAAUGAAUAAGACAUUCACUUGAAGUAUAUUUGAUUCUAGAGAGGCAUAGAACAAAACACAUCUAUUUUUUAUUUACAAGCAAACACAAAUCUACUGAUAUGCUCAAACUCAGAGUGAAUUAGCAUCCUAGGUAGGCAUUCAGCCAUAAAAAAGUAUAGCAAAUUCCACUUUCUGAAGUGCUGUAAGCAGCCGAUACAGUAGUAUGAUUAAACCUAAGCAACACUGUUACAAAUUUAACUAGUCUAAGUCUUUCUUCUUCCUCCUCAAACUAUUUCUUCAUUGGAAGUUGAAUGCACCUGACCUUCACCUUGCAAUAGGAAACCCCUAGAAAACCUAUUCAAAGCAAAAAGGAAUCAAUCUAAACUAAGAGGAAAAAUAAACCAUGGAAAUCCCAUUAAACAUUCUCACCAAAAUCUCAUUUGCAUGGAGUCCUGCUGUAUUUGUAUAAAAAUGUUGAAUCACAGUUCUUUCAUUCCUUCAAUCCAUUAUCGCGACUUUUAGCAGUGCAAAAGUCUUUUAGUUCAAGAGAGCAGUCACUAGUUUCCAGCAAUGGAAACCACUGCAGCAGGAGCAACUAGCAAUAGUUUGUAUGGGGAUUUUGAACCUUACAGCAAAUGGCUUACAAAGGUAGGACAACAGACUCUUGAAGAGUUUUCUGACUUUGCCUUCUCUGUUUCUUAGCAUUUUCACCUCAACAUUUAUUUUUAGAUAGUGGUGUCUCUUGGACUUUGGCUUGUUUAUUUCUUAGGCUACUUCCUAUCCUUAUUAAUGCCACGUUUUUAAUUUCCAUUCAUAAAUUUAAAACCAACAAAGCUAUGGUUUGGCAAAAGUACAUGAUGAAGAUAGGGUGUACAGCAGUUGGGUUAAGUGAAUUUUUGACAACUGAAACCAAAAUAAUAAAAUAAAAAACAUGAAAAAAAUAAGAAAAAAGCUAUGGAAAACUUGCGUGUCCCCAAAGCUAUGGUUUGUAGGAAGGAGGAGCUUUCUGAUGCAGAGCUGCUGAGAUAUGGAUCAUCAAAUCGAAUAUCUUCCUCCAUACUGCCUUCUUCUCUGAAUAUAUGGAUUCCACUUCCUUUAAUGAAUGAGCUCUCUAAGUCUAACACUCCUUCUUUUCUUUUUUGCUUUUCAUAGUCUAACACACUUUGAUAUCUAACCUCCACAUGGUUCCAUUCCUUUUCCCUAGCCACUUCUUCAAACCAAUUAUUAUCGUUGAAACAAAAAUCUUGGAGAUCAAAGAUAUAUGUAUGAUCCAAUUUCAACAUACUUUUUAUCUCCUCACUUCCAAAAUAUUUUAGAAAUUUUCCAUUGAUUGACACAUUGGGUUUAACGAAAAAAUACCCGCUGUCACCCAAGACAGGUGCAAUAAGAAGACAAAGAAGUUUGGGAGGGAAUUUAUUACGAAACCAGAAAGAACUUGAAUGUCCACUGCUUUGGUGAUCCAACCACUCUGGUAUUCUUGUUCCUGGAAACACAAACUGGGUUCCUCCAGCCUCAUGCAGUUCCUGUUAGUCAUAAUUCAUACAGAAUUCAUAAGUUUAACAACAAUAAGUGCACUAUACAUCAUCAAAUCAUAUACAUUAUAAAAAAGACAAUACCUGAUUUAAAAGCAUGCUUUUACUCGAGGAUGUCAAGGAUGCACAGUUUCUUGCAUUGAAUAACCUUAAGUUCUGUGGAAUCCCUCUAAUUUCCUGAAGAUGCUUGCAAUGACUCACGUUAAGACUUCCUAAAAAUUGCAAUUCUUUGAAGAAUUCAGGAAGGAUUGUGAAAUUAUUCCUCGAUAGAUUUAAAUAUCCUACAUGAGCAAACUUCUUGAAACCUGUUAAAAAAAAAUCAUCACAUAGAUUGCAAUUCUUGGCAGAAAACGAAUGUGUCCAAAAACGUGCCUCUGAAGAUAUUAUUGAGCCCACUUUUUCUUCAGCUUCUUCCGAUUCUACCCAUUGCCACCUGUUGCAAUUUACAAAUUUGAAUGCAGACAGUUUGGGCAUCAUGGCUAAGCUACAUCGUAACUGAACAAUUCCACAGCCAAACAUGGAUAACUGUUGGAGUCCAAUAAGAUUUUGAAAUGAAAAUGGCAAUUCUUUUAUCGGAAGGCCAUGCAAAUCAAGUCUCUCUAUGUUUUCCAUCUCUCCUAAUAUUUCUGGAAAAUACUCAAGACUGGAACAGUGAGAAAGUUCAAGUGUUUCAAGAGAGGUCAAGUGGAGAGGCGGAAAACUCGUAAGCUUCCUGCAACCAUAAGCAUUCAAUUUUUUAAGUUUAUUCAGAAAACCAAUUGAGUCAUCAACUGCAACUAAACUCUCACACCAUUGAAAUGAAAGUUCCCUCAAAUUUGGGAGAUCAGAUACAUCAGGUAUCUGUGUUAAAAAUUUGCACCAGUCAAACUUCAAAACUGUUAGAUGCCCCAACUUCUGCAAAGGAAAAAAAAAAAAAGAACUAAGAAACAAAUGAACAAAUUUAAUUCAUGGAAUGAGGAAAAUAUACUCUUUAAACUUGCCUUCGAUGAGCCAUGGAACUCAAAUGACGUCAUGGAACUGUCAGGUAACUUGCAUAUAACAAGGUUGAUCGGAUCAAAGUUAGACGGUAAACAAUUUGAAGGAUAUCUGUGCCAUUCCAGUACUCUCAAACCUUGUGGAAAAUAAUUGGGACCUUUGGAAAAUUUUCCAUUUCUAAUAAUAAGUAUUUUAAGGUUUUCCAUCUUCAUGAAGGCGUUUUCAUUCCAUUCCACUGUUUCUUCUUUGUCAGAUAUGGAGAAAUCCACAUAUAUGAUUUCAAUUUUACUAGUUCC